ACGUCAAAGCGCAUGGAACUGUGGAAGUGGGGCUUGUCCUCUCAAUUCGUAUUAAUAUUAAGAGCCUCCACUAGCGUGACGACCAUCCUUUACCAUAUUCGUAUUAAUAGAUGGUUGAAGGCCAUCCUCGCUAUUGUGGCCACCGAACUCACUUGUGGCUUGUUCUUGGGUUUCCAGGGCCAUCAUCCCGAAUUUCUUUUGAAUCCUCCUGGUCUUCGCUGGUGUCAUGAUCUGAGCUUUGACAACGACUAGAUACUCUGGUAGGUCCUAGCAUAAUUCCCUCUUUUAAAUCAUCCAGAGAAUGGUUUCCUUCCAAUGCUCGAACUACCUGUUUACACAAAGCUCAUAUAUUAUUCCACACUUGUAGAACAAUUUGCAUUAAUUGGUCAUGUCAAAAAGUGAGUUGUAGCAAACUAAGACACUGAAAAUGGUGUUUUUCUUUUCCUUUUUCUGGCUCAAAUGAAGUGAUAACCCAUGAUUUUUCAUUUGUAGGAUAAGCAAAACCAUUGGGUAGAGCAUAAAAAUGUGUCUAAAACAAGGGGAAAAAAGAGAGGAAGAAGAAGCACCCAUUCUGGUAUUAAAACAAUGUACUUUCAACUAGGCAAUGUACCUGUGUCAUUCGUGGACGUUGUCCUGUAGAAUGACGAACACAAGCAGCAGAACAAGCAAUCAUCUGAGUCAUUUCCUCGGUAACGUAGUCCUUGUUUAGUUUUGGAUCAACUAUGACAUCAAAAUUGCCAUCUUCUAAAGCUUGUGUGAGUAAAGGCCUUGCCUAAAAUUUUAUUAGAAGAGUCAAUUCUAUAACAACAUUCACAGUGGAGAGAGGAAAACAUGGAGGGAAAUGAUAAAUAAUGAUAGGCCACAAGUAAAUAUGUUGCUGACAAACCCAAUUAACCAAGCUAUGCUCAUCACUGGGUAGAGUUACGUCAACCGGACGACGCCCUCCGAUCAACUCUAGAAGCACAACACCAAAAGAAAAAACAUCUGCUUUCUCAGUGAGAUUUCCAGUGUAGAAAUACUCUGGAGCCAUGUAGCUGUGCAUUAGGUAGACUUACAUUAGCAAAAGAUAACAAAACUAAUAUAUGCUUAGACAGGAAAUGACUAAACUCAACUAUCAUUGGUGUAGAGAAUAUUUCUCGAGUUUAAACCUGUAAAGAAAACCUCGUCGAAGUAGAUUUUUUAGUUUGAGUAAAUUUCCCAGUCUAAGUGAGUUUACUAAUUUUAGUUGGCCAAAGGAGAUUUCCUGCUUUGGAUAUAUAUGUGUCUAAAGGAGGCAGAUUUUGGUUUUCGCACACUAGAGUGGAUAGAGGAGCUUUUGGCCACAACAAUCAAUUGGGUGGCAUGCUUGUCAAUCACAUUUUGAGUAAAUUGUGAGUAUAGUGAACCAAUAAAUCUUAUUCAUCCGAGUUGUAAAUUUUUUGAUUGAGAUAUUGUUUCUCGAGAAAUUGUGACGAUUAAACAAUGUAUGAACUAUUGAGUAUAAUUGGGGGUUAGGGAACAUUGGGACUGUUUGAGUUAUUCAACUAUAGUUGUAAUCUCAAUUAUGUUACUUGAUCUAUAGUUGAAUGUUAUGCAACCCUUCUUUUGGAGUAGGUCCCACCGAUCAAAUCCACGUAAAUUUGGUAUCUAAUUUAUUUCACUGUUAUCAUUAUUAUUGUGUAUGAGUGUAUGUUUUUUGCAACGACUAAUAUUAUAGCUAGGUUUAAAUGAGUUGAAGAGCAAAAGUCAUUUGAUUUGAUGGGAAUGUUUUCAGUUUCUAGAAAAUGUAGUUGAUUAUAUCAAAGGAAUGUGCACUUUUUCCUAUAAGGAGAGAUGAAGCAAGCUGAUUUGAAUUUGUUGGAUAGACAAGCGUUAGUAGUUAUUUAGCUAAAGUGGGCUCAUAAUGUUGCAUUUAAUAUUGAAAGAGACCGCUACAAUCUUGAUUAAUGCCAUGUCAAACAUUUACAAAAGUCCUUUAUGAUAAGCAAGAUCAACUUGGUGUGACAUUUGUUCUAGCUAAAAAUAAGCAAGUGUGUGUUAGUUGCAAAGCAUGUGGUUGAUUGUCAACUGAGUUUGGUUAAAAUUAACUUUGAUGAUGAGAUACGUGCUUUAAUUCUAUUAUCCUCGUGGCCCACUAGUUAGAAUACUACUAUCAAUGCAAUAAGCAAUUAAUCUGGUUCAAGAAACUUAAUGUUUGAUGAGGUUCACAAAUUGAUUUUAAAUAAAGACAUCCAUAAAAGAGAAUCGGGUGAACCCCUACCUAAUUGUAUAGUAAGUUAAGGUAGAAGAAGAACUAAUAUUCAUGUUAGUAGGAAUAAUGUGAACCAGAAUAGACGGAAUCAGUCUAGAAUUGUGGUAUUGUCUAUUGGAAUCGUGGCAAGAGAGUGCACCUCAAAAUGGAUUUCCUAGCCGAAGAAUGAGAGCAGUAAAGGAAUUAGAGUCUAGUCUAUCAAUGAUAUUGCUACAAUAGCUUACGGUAACCUAGAUAGUGCUGAUUAUGUUGUGCUUGUCACUAAGGGAUUGUUAUUUGAUGGUUAGGUUAUAGAUCUAGUUGCUUAUUUCAUGCGAUAGCAAACAUGAACUAUAUUACUACUUAUUAGUGCACGGAUAGUGGUGAAAUGAUGUUAAGGAAUAAUGUUGACUGCGAUGUUGUGAGACACAUUCCAGAAUUGAAGCCGAACUUGAUUUCUUGCCUGCUCUACAUUCAACUAGGUAUCAAUGUACUUCAAAAAGUAGAGUUUUGACAGUUGUUGCCAUGGUAAUUAUAAAACAAAUAGAGCACUAUUGCCUAUAUGGGAUCAAGGGGAGACGGUAACAAAUUUCAACACGGACAUUGGAUGAAUCGGUACAAGAUUAGUUGCCUAUGCAUUUAGGGAACACUACGGAGAAAAGCCCGGAAGUUUUGAAUAAAAGGAAUUUGAUGUGUGGUUAUGUGGCUAAAAAAAUUAAAUGUAUGCAGGUGCUAUAGCUUAGGCAAAUGGCUAAAAGCGCAAUUCUGUAUGACUGCAGAGAAACCACAAAGAUUGUAGAGUUGAUUCACUUAAAUGUGUGCAAGCUAUCAUAUUUUCCUUCGAGGAAGAGUACCAAUUGAUGCUAACAAUUGCAGAUCACUACUCGAUGAAGAUUUGAGUGUUUGUGUGGAGGUGCAAGUUGAAUAAUAUUGUCAGGAUUAGAUGGUUGAGAGCUUUGAGCGAAAUGAAGGCUGGUACAACAAUCAAGUAUUUGUGGACUGAUAGUAACAUGGAGUUUUACUCAAAGUAGUUGAACAAAUUCUACGUGAAGGAAAGAACAAGUUGCAAAGUUAAUGAGGAGAACAUUGCUAGGAAUAGUCCAUAAAAUGCUUUCUAGUGUUGAAAUGGCUAAGAAAUUUUCAACAAAAUGCACUUAAUACGGCGAGCUACUAGAUGAAUAGAUCUCCAUUGACUACUAUUUGAUACUAGACUCCUGAAAAAGUAUGGUCAGGUAAUUGAUUAUUUUGUUCUUAAAAUAUUUGGUUACAUAUGUUUUAUUCAAGUGAGUGACGAUAAGAUCAAUGGCAUGGCAAGAAAGUAUAUAUUCCUAGGUUAUGCAUAAGGUGAGCGGGGCUAUCAAUAUGUGGUACCUAGAAUUAUAUUCACUUAUUGCUUAUAGUAAAAUUAUAUUGAUGAGAAUCCAACAGUGUUAUGUAGGAAUAAUUGUGGUAGUAUUUUUGUAGAUGUGGCUAGUGUUCAACUCUAGAUGGAAUUGCAACCCGAAACUCUUGAGGUAGCAAGUACUUGCGUAGUAGAUAACACAUAUUCUGCUUGUAACGAGGUGAAACUUUUAGAGGUAAUGGCGGUUGUUCUAGUUAUUGAAUUUGACAAUGUGCAUAUUCGAUCUCCUAAGAUAUAUAAUGACAACAGUGGUUUUUCUUUAUUUGUGGUUGAGAAGAUUUUAUUGGAAAAUUCCCGUGAAGUGUUUAAAGGUGCAAAUAUGAGGGGUGAUAGAUUCUAGUGCAGGCUAGUUCCUAGCUUUUGGAACCGUGAACUAGUCCAACUGGUCCUAGACCCAACCAGGAAGCAAACUAACUGGUCCGAUCCGUCUGAUCCGAUUCUUAGGUGGAUCAAGAAACCGGCUCUUUUUUUAUUUUUUUCCCAUUCCCCACAAUAUUUCAAGUGUCAUUGCAUAGUUUAAACUGAUACAUGAGUCUAAGCAUAAUUAUCAUCUCCGUGAAAAAAGUUAUAAUGAUCAUCAAGAACCACGUCUGAUAGGCAUCAAGUCGCAAUGGAGGCAGCGAUGCGUGUAUGAGACUAAGAGAAGUGAGAGUGAGAGUCGUGACCAAUGAGCGUGCAUGAUUGAGUCUAAGCAAGAAAAGAACGAAAAUUUGAUUUUGGAAAUAUGGAUAAUAAGAAUUUAAAAAUUAGUCUCAUCCAAGUGGUUUGAGUGGGUGUGUUCACACAUAGAACCGAGAACUGAACCGAUAUUCAUCAGUUCCUAAUUUCAAGAACUUCCCAAUACUAAUUGAUAUGGUCCGAUUCCCAAUUCAAUCUGAUUCUUUUCCUCACCCCUAGCAAUUAGAGUUAGUAUCUUGAUAAGGUUCACUGUUAUGAUGGAGUUCAAGCGUGGCUUGGACUUAAAAGAUUCUUGUGAAGGGUGAGCCCAUGAGGGGCUGUGGAAGAGUAGCGAUGAUAAGUUUCCAUCAAAGCGAUUGUGAUUGGCCCAAACCUUGAGCAAAAGUAGAGAUUGUUGAGAAUAAGUUACAUAUUUGAGCCUAUAUAGGAAAUUCGAUCCAAGUGAGUUUCCUAAUUUAAAUAGGUUUCUUAGUCUGAGUGGUUUCCUAGCUUGAGUAGAUUUCCUAGUUUUAGUAAGCUAAAAGGGAUUUCUAGUUUGGAUUCAAAUAUAUAUAAGAUGGAUUUUGGCUUUUGCACAGUAGAAUGAGCAAAGGAACUUUAGGUCGUAAUAAUCAAUCAUGUCGUGUGCUCGUGAAUUAUAUCUUAAAGAAAUUGCAAGUUUCGUGAAGCCAAUGAAAAGAUUGAAAGAUUAUUUCGUAAAGAAUUAUGAGAGAUUUUUUUUAGAGUGUAUUUGAGUGACUCAACUAUACUUGUGAUUACCAUUAUAUCGCUUGUUUUAUAGUAAAAUUCUAUACUAGUCUCCCCGUGAAAUAGGUCCUGCCAACUAAACCUAACCGAAUCAUGUAAAGUCAGUAUCUAAUUUAUUUCCAUGUUCUAUUUAUUAUUAUUACUUGUUUUUUACAACAUUUAGAACCAAUUUAGACGAACCACAUGCAAGAGAAAUAGCCUUACCCAAAAGUUCCCAUUACUCGAGUAACUACAUGAGUAUCUGUAUCAGAAGCAAACUUUGCAAGUCCAAAAUCUGCAACCUAAAAUCAGAAUGUCAACCUUUAGAUUCAUAUCCAAAUAGCUUCACACUACAAGAUUAGAUUAUGCAUUAAAAGUUCAUCAUAACUCCAAAAAUAAUUUCAAGACUAAAACUCUAUUAUUUAGCUCUCCAAAUGAUUUCAUCAGGAAAUCAACUUUUGGAACCUAAAGAUCUUUUGCCAUUUCUCUUGGCUUCGGCUUAUAAGAGGAUGUUGGAGGGAUGCAAAGCUUUUCAAGAUAUGGAGUAGUUCGCUAGCUUAAGAAGCUAACUGAAUAAUGUGGUAGUAAAUUCCAUAAACAAUUUAGAUGAUCGAUAUUAUCAUGUAAUGAUUAAAUAGUUGCGCAUUGUACCUUUGCCUCAAAAUUAGAUUCCAGAAGAAUAUUAGCAGCCUUGAUGUCACGAUGAAUGAUUUUGGGAUUACCUGAGAAGUGAAUCCAAUAAAAAAACGAACUGCGAAACUUAUCAUAAGUAUAAGGUUUAAAAGAUCGUACUUACAUUCCUCGUGUAGAUAUGCCAACCCCCUUGUAGAACCUAAAGCAAUCUUCAUCCUCAUAGGCCAAGUCAUAGUUGGGCGAUCCUUCCCUGCAAUUGAGAUAGCUAGUAUAAUCACCUAGAGGGGGGUGAAUAGGUGCACAAACAAAUUUUCGAGAUACGGAAGCGAUUUUAGGCAAUCGAUAGAAAGGAAAAUACGAUCAAGGUAAAAUAAAGGAUAGGGAAAUGAGAAAUGAACACAAGAUUUAUAGUGGUUCGGCUUAUUCCAAGCCUACGUCCACUCUUCCGUACUGACAGCCUACCGGCUGGAUAUUACUAUGAACAAAAGAGAAGUUACAGCACAGCUUUUCCUUGAUUCCACAGUGUAGAUGUUCUAUCACACUUCCUCAAGGUUUCUCACGAAUAUAGACUCUCUUUUGUUUACACGAUUAUGCUCAACAAAUGAAUUGACUAGAAACAAGGAGCUUCAGACUUUGGAAUUCUUCUCUCGUACACCUUCUCGAACGACUAGAACGUCUUCCUUAUAUACUCCUUCAUGCCAUCAUACCCGUUGGCACUUACCAAAGGAAUUCCUCCAAUCUACCCGUUGGACGGAAUCAAUUAGGAAGAUCAUUCGAGCUAUUAAAGGAACAUGUCAAUAGCCCAUCAAUCAUGUUCGCCCAUACAAUCAGGAUCUCGGUUUCCAUAAGUAGAACCUUCCAAGUAAACUUUGCCAAUCAUCGGAUCCUUAAUUAUUCGAAUCAAUUGUGAUCAAAUAAAGAAUUCCGUUAUGUCACAUCCAGACAAGAGAUCUUCUCCAGUCGAUGAGGCUACAUCCUUAAUGAAACAUCCAGUUCUGGAUAGCCUUUCUUCAACGGAUUAGAGACUGUCAAUGAGGAUAGACUUUGAGUCUUGAGUCUGGCUAUCCGAAGGUCUUCAGACUUUAAAUAGUAGAGUCUGCAAUCCUUCAGACUAGACUGAUGGAAAAGUUUUGUCAACUUCAAAACACUUCAAGAGGAAUUUCUCCAACAAUCUCCCCCUUUUUGAUGGUGACAAAACUUUCCUGCAGAUUUGGAAAACUUUGACCUGCAAAACAUUUCUCUAGCACAUAUGCAUAUCUUAUAGAUUGAAAUGGCUUAAAUGAAUAACACUAGAAUCUGCAACCACAGAAAAUAGGUUAGUCCAGUAUGCAGUAAAACCAUCCAUAAGACAUCAAUAGUAGUUAAUAAUAAACAGUCAAAUCCAAAUCCCAAAUUUAGUCCACAUCCAGACACAAGUCAAGUCAAAACAAACCACAAUCCAAACAAACCAAAAGUUUAAGUUCAAAGUUUUUCAAGUUGCGACUAAACUCUCCCCCUUUUUGUCAACAUAAAAAGAUUGAGAUGAAAAUGAAGUCAAGUAUUCUUGGGAAUACGAACAAGCUGAAAAUCUCCCAUCGACUGAACGAUGCCUUCCAGCCUUUUAAAGUCUUCCUUCAGUUGAGCAACAUCCUCACCCUUAGCAUUGGCCUGAAUCUGAAUAGAAAGGGCUUGGAUUUGAUCAUUUAAUGAACCUGAAGAGACUUGUCCUGCAUUCUGCAAGUUCUGAACUUCACAUCCCAGUGCAUAUAUCUGACCUUGCAUUUCCAAGAGAAUAUCCAUCACUCUGCGAAAGUCUGCUGAAUUUUCGGUCUGAGUACUAGCAUUAGCACGAUCUGAUGGAGUAAAUACAGACGAUGGUAAAUCAGCAUAAUCACGCAGAUUUGGCGAAGAAACCUCAUGACCUUCUUCAGGAAACUGAGAGGCAAAAACCUCCUCUGGAUCUGCUGGGGAUCGACUGACUCCCUCACCGGUUGCUGGAUUUGAGGUCAUUCCUCUUUUCUCUUGGUCUCCCCCUGUGUCUAUGCCUUCAGGUGGAGAGUGCUCCUCAUGUUCUCCUUCUUCUUGAUCUCUUUGCUCUUCUUCUUCUUUUUCAACUCUCUCUUGCUCAGCAUCUCUUUCUUCUUCUUCUUCUCUUUCCUCUGUUUCUUUUUCCUCUGCCUCUUUCUCUGCUCUUUCUUCUGUCUGCCGAUCUGUCUCUUUCUCUGGAACAGAUUGACUGAGAUUCUUCAAAGUAGAGAUAGUGAUGUUAUCCUCAUCAUCUUCAUCCUCAACGAGGAGAGCUCUUUUUCUCUUGGAUGGAGCAUCCAUGGGCUCCUUCCCUUUCCUUUUUUCCUGCAGAAGAGAAUUGAUGAGUUUUGACUGGAGUCUUCUCCUUAAAUUUCUCCAAUGCCUUGCUUAGUUCCUUCAGACGCAUCUUGGUCACCAUUUUCAGUCCUACCACCUUAUGGUCGCACGAUCGAGCACAAAGAAUUUGUGGAGGCUGAAUGUUUAGAUGUCUGAAUAACUUUGUUACAAGAACUGGAUAAAGGAAGUUGUCAUCUGUCCUUCAUCACAGCUCUAUACAUAUGGAACAUAACAAUAUGAGGAAGUGAAAACCUUUUCCCAAUGAUGAUGGCAUACAUUAGCUUUGCCUCUGAACUUGAGACAUCAGUCUUGGAAGUUGAUUUCGGUCUGAGGCAAUUAAUUACAAUUUUGUGAAGCAAGAUGUUAAAUGCACUCAUCCUUGAAUAGGAAAUCUUUCCCUCUGUUUUCCUGUCUUUAACAAGUUCCAGAGUAGUACGAGCAAUAGAGACUUUGAUCCGUUGAUACCUUCCUCUCUCAACUCCUAACACAUCUGCCAGCAUAUCCAUAUCCACAACAAAGUCUUGAUCUUUGACACUGAAGGAGAAUCUAUUCACAUCCAAGAAACUAAGAUUUGAAUAGAAAUAUGCAGAUAGUUGAGGAUAGGCCUCUGUGGAGUCAGAGCAGAAUUUCUCAAGUUGAAGAUGACCAAACUUUUCCCUUAAGUUCACACUUACAGCAUCCAGAAAGUCAAAAUCUACACUCCUAGGGUUUAUCACCCCACGCUUCAGCAAUUUUGAGUAUAUAUCCAUAUGUUCCUUCGAUCUAAACAACUCUCCUUUUUUUCCUCGAUUUUCCACCGCAAUUCCUAUUCUUGGCUGAAAUUCGCUGUAUAAUUUGUCAUCAUCAUUUCCAUCCACCGGAUUAACUCCCCAAUCACGAGGGUCACUUGGGAUAUUCGCAAGGGAUUCUUCUGCCACGAGCAAUUCCCAAACUUUCCAUUUUUCGCAUAAAGAUAUAUUCAUUUCCAUAUCAUUUGUCCUUAAGAAAAUCAUCCACAUAGUUCAACAGAGUACCAGUCCCUUUUAAAGCACGAUACAACUUAUAAAUAAAAGAGGGCCUUUGAACUCUUACAGGGUCUGCAUCUUCAAUGAUUUCUUCAUUUUGAUGAUGAUCAACAUCUUGAGGACUAGAUGGAGGAGAAUGACGCUGCUGAGAAUGUUGUGGGCUCUGCUGCUGAUUUGGAGACACUUCUUCUUCAGUGAGGUCGAAGUGCGUAGGCCCCUCACUCAUUCGCUAUGGUCCCCUGCUUGCGAUCCUCGAAGACUUUCUUGAAGACGACAUCUUUCUUAGUCUUUGAAAGAUUCCUUGCUUGACUUUCCCAAGAAAGAUGACAACUUUUUCAAAGAUUAAACAAGAGAAGAAAACAGGAAUGGAAGAAUGGUGCUUUUUAGGGUUUUAGAGUUAAGCGAGGAGAAACCGAUUAUAUAUAAGACAGUCGUAAGGAGGGGAUACCAACCGUCGUAAUGGUAAGUAAAAAAAAUGCCUUUUAAAAAAUAACUGCCUUUUUCGAAAUAGUUACAUCAAAAUAACUUCUUUUUCUAAAGGAAACGAUGCAAUAAUUUCGUCAAUUAAAGAUAGCGAUUGAGAUAAUCAACACGGUUGAUCAACGUACCUUUUCAAAAUGAGAUUAGAGAGAGAAUAACUUACAGUCAAAGUCUUGCAGUCAAACUCUUAUAGUCUAAGUCUGAGAGUCUCUAGACUUUAACUUCUUCAAAGUUCAAAAUGUUGAGUCUUGAACGGAUAAUUUCAAAUUGAUUUUUCUCCAAAGGCUUUGUAAAUAUAUCCGCCAGUUGGUUCUUUGAGUCAACAAACUGAAUCAAAAUUUCUCCAUUUUGAACAUGAUCUCUAAUGAAGUGAUGUCGAAUCUCUAUAUGCUUUGCUCUUGAGUGAAGAAUUAGAUUUUUGGUGAGAUUGAUUGCGCUGGUGUUGUCACAUUUAAUCUCCGUGCAUGAAUCUUCAAUUCCGAAAUCUCUUAGCUGUUGUUUUAUCCACAGAAUUUGUGAACAGCAACUUCCAAGAGCUACAUACUCUUCUUCUGCUGUAGAGAGAGCUACUGUACUUUGCUUUCUUGAAAACCAAGACACUGCCCUGCCUCCAAGUAGUUGACAGGUACUUGAGGUGCUCUUUCUAUCAACUCUGCAUCCGGCUAGGUCUGCAUCUGAGUAUCCAAGAAGAGUAAAGUCUCCCCUUUUAGGAUACCAGACCGAAGCUUGAAGUUGAUGCAAUAUAUUUGAUAAUACGCUUUGCAGCAGUUAAAUGUGAUUCUUUAGGGUCUGCUUGAAAUCUGGCACAAAUGCAAACACUAAACAAAAUAUCAGGUCUAGAAGCAGUAAGAUAAAGAAGUGAACCAAUGAUACUCCUAUAUAACUUUUGGUCGACUUUCUUUCCUCCUUCAUCUUUAUCUAUCUUCACGGAGCUUGACAUUGGUAUAUCAGACUUUUUGCAAUUGUUCAAUCCAAACUUCUUCACAAUAUCAUUAGCAUAUUUUUCUUGAUAAAUAAAAGUUCACUCCUUCAAUUGUUUUACUUGAAAUCCAAGAAAGAAGGUUAACUCACCCAUCAUGCUCAUUUCAAAUUCAUCCUGCAUAGUCUUAGAGAAUUUCUUGCACAGACUUUCAUUAGAGGAUCCAAAAAUAAUAUCAUCGACAUAUAUUUGAACAAGUAGAAAACUCUUGCUUUCUCUUUUAAUAAAAAGAGUAGUGUCUACUUUACCUUUAACAAAUCCAUUUUCUAUUAAAAACUUACUCAGUCUGUCGUACCAAGCUCGAGGAGCUUGUUUCAAGCCGUAUAAAGCCUUUUUGAGUCUGAAUACUGAGUCUGGUUUCUUUGGGUCUUCAAACCCAGGUGGUUGUUCCACAUAGACUUCCUCUUGGAUGAAUCCAUUUAGGAAGGCACUUUUGACAUCCAUUUGGAAUAACCUGAAAUUCUUAUAACAAGCAAAAGCAAGUAAUAAUCGAAUUGCUUCUAACCUUGCUACUGGUGCGUAAGUCUCGUCAUAGUCUAUCCCUUCUUCUUAUGUAUAUCCCUCGGCCACGAGUCUUGCCUUGUUUCUUAUUACUUUUCCUUUCUCGUUCAUCUUGUUCCUGAAAACCCAUUUAGCUCCAAUAACUGAUUUACCUUUCGGUUUAGGAGUUAAUUCCCAGACAUCAUUAACUCUAAAUUGCCUGAGCUCUUCUUGCAUAGCUUCAAUCCAGCUUUCAUCAGAUAAAGCUUCUUCUAUGCUUUUGGGUUCUAUUUCAGAAAUAAGAGCCACAGCACUAGACUCUUCACGCCUUUUGGAUCUUGUGCGAAUUCCUUCAUUGAUGUCGCCAAUAAUAAGAUCUUUGGGAUGACUGGACUUAUGUUUCCAGUUGCUGGUUAAUUUGUCAGAUUGAUGGUCACUUUCUUCACUUGAGUCUUCAACAGUCACUUGUUGCUGGUCCUUCAAAGUCUGAGCUAUUUUAGACUUUGUAAAGUCUGGAGCAGGUUCAAAUUCUUCAAGAUGAGUCUGAAUGGAUUCAUUUUGCAUAGAAUCCUGGAAUUUAACAUUCAUUGAUUCUUCCACUGUUUGAGUCUUCUUGUUGUAGACUCUGUACGCUUUGCUUGUGGUUGAAUAUCCAAGGAAGAUGCCUUCUUCUGAUUUUUCUUCAAACUUUCCAACUCGAUCAUUUGCAUUUUUCAGUAUUAAACAUUUGCAUCCAAAUACACGAAAAUAUGAAACAAUAGGCUUCUUUUCUUUGAACAGUUCAUAGGGAGUUUUUUCCAGAAUAGGCCUUAGAAAGACUCUAUUUAUAAUGUAACAUGCUGUAAAAACUGCUUCAGCCCAGAAAUGUGAAGAGAUGUUACUUUCAAUUAGAAGAGUUCUAGCCAUUUCUUGAAGAGAUCUAUUCUUUCUUUCCACAACUCCAUUUUGCUCUGGGGUAUAUGGAGAGGAGAAUACAUGCUGAAAACCAGAUUCAUCACAGAAUUUUAUAAAGUCAUGAUUUUCAAACUCACCUCCAUGAUCUGUUCUUAUACUCGAUAUAACAUACCCUUUUUCAUUUUGAACCUUUUUAGCAAACUUUUCAAAGUGAGAGAAGGUUUCAGACUUGCCAAGAAAUAUACCCAAGUGAAUCAUGAGUAAUCAUCCACAAUUACCAGGCAGUAUUUCUUACCUCCAAUGCUUUGCAUUCUGGUUGGUCCAAAAAGAUCCAUAUGCAAAAGCUGCAGUACACGGUUAGUGGAAACUUGAUUUAUUGGUUUAAAGGAAUUUCUUACCUGUUUUCCCAAUGUACAUGGUGUACAUAGAUCAGACUUUUGAUAUGAUAAAUUGGGUAGUCCACGAACAAGCUUCUUUGAUGAGAUUUUGGCUAUUUGCUUCAUAUUGACGUUCCCAAGCUUUCUGUGCCAUAAGUUUGCUUCGUCUUGGAUUGAGAUUAGACAUUGUGAUUCAUCUGGUUUCACAUCCAAGAGGUAGAUAUUUCCAUGUCUUUGACCCAUGAAUGACUGAGUAGAAUCUUUACUAAUUCCAGAACAUAUUCCCUCUUGAAAGUUGAUUUUGAAACCAGUAUCACAAAGUUGACUAAUACUGAGCAAAUUGUAAUUGAGCCCUUCCACUAAGGAAACAUUGCUGAUUUUGAGAUUUCCAAUCUUUACAGUUCCAAAUCCCACAAUUUUUCCUUUGUUGUUUCCUCCAAAAGAAACUUUUCCACCAUUUACUUGAACAAGCUUUAUGAAGAAAUUUGAGUUUCCUGUCAUGUGUCUUGAGCAUCCACUAUCAAGAUAGCAUUUUACCUUUUUCUUGAUGGUGACCUGCAUUUAAAAAAGAAACUCAAGCCUUCUUUGGUACCCAUAUUUUCUUGGGUCCAUUGGUGUUAGUAUGAUAUGCAGUUUUUGCCCAUACAUUUUUAACAAGUUUCCAAAUCAUAGGACAUUCUUUUUCAAAAUGAUCUGCACUAUUGCACUUUGAGCAUUUGAGAGCAUUACGACCUACUGGUUUUACAAAGAUUCUUUUAAAAUGAUUUUUGUAGGCAUCUCUUGAGGGUCUUUGUUUGAUUCUUUCUUUUACCUUAGGAAAAUCAAUUAAAGGAAUGGUUUCAUCAGUCAUUCCUAAACUAGAUUUAUUAAAAUAAGGUCUUUGAACAGAAAGAAUUUUUUCUAGUUUCUCAGAUCCUAUAGAAAAUCUUUUGGAAAUAUUUGAGAUAUCUCUUUUUAAGAAUGCAUUUUCUUUUAACAAGAUAUCUUCACUUUCUUUAAGAGAAGAAACAUUCUUGUCUAAACUUUUCACUUUUUCUUUCAAAAUAUUUUCCUGUUGUUUUAGAGCAGAAUUUUCUUUCUUGAGUUCGGAAAUUCUUUUAAGAGAAGUCUUAAGACUGAAACACAAUUCAUCAAUAUAUUUCGAAACCUUAAUAGGGAUUUUGAAGUUACUUACUUCAAAUUCGCUUUCUGAGUCUGAAUCUGUCUCGGAGUUUGAAUCCGAAUCCGAUUGUGCCAUCAGACAUAUGUUGGCAUAGUCAUCAUCACUUUAUUCACACUCUGUAUCACUCCAGGUUUCAGCUUUAAGAGUUUUUCGGUACUUUUCAGUCUUUCAUUUCUUCUUCCUUAGAAGAGGACAGUUGGGUCUGAUGUGUCCCUUUUUCUUACAUUCAAAGCAGACUAUAUCUUUGUUUGAUUCAUCAUCCUCAACAAACUUAGUCUGUUGCUUUUGAAAGCUUUGUUUUUUUGGAUUGAAUCUUGUUCCUUUUCUGUUCAGCUUUCUGAAUCUUCUUAUCAUGAGAGCAAGUUCCUCAUCAUCCAUAUCGUCUUCAGAACCUGUAGCAUCAGAAUCAUCAUUAGAUUUUAACGCAAUGGAUUUCUUACCUUUAGGGUCUUCGUCUUCAUUGAUUCGUUCCACUUCAUAAGACUGAAGAGUCCCAACCAACUCAUCAACAGAUAUAGGCAUUAUUCUUUGGGUUUCUCUGAUUGAGGUCUUUAUGUGAUUCCAAUCCUUGGAGAGUCCACGCAGUAGCUUGUUUACUUUCAUGGGAUCAGAAAUUGGUUGACCUUGAUUUUCAAGACCGUUCACAAUAUCUGUAAAACAACUAAACGUAUCAAUUAUAGAUUCUCCUGGUUUCAUUUUGAAAGCUUCAUAUUGGCCGAGGAGAAUGUUGAUUCUAGUCUUUUUCACUCGAUCGGUUCCUUCAUAAGUAAUAUGUAAUCUAUCCCAGACUUCUUUAGCUGUAACACAAGAAGAUAUUCUGUUAUAUUCAGUAGGAGAUAAAGCACAAUAUAAUGAAUAAAUUGCUUUUGCAUCAAGAGCUUGUCUCUUGAUUUUCUCUUCCUGAGUCAUUUCACUAGACUCAACAACAUCUUUUCCUCUUUCUGAGACAGAUGCAGCUUUAGGAAUAAUUCAUUUUUCUACAACGUCCCAUUCCAGAGGAUCCUUUGAUCUUAGGAAUGCUUUCAUCUUGUUCUUCCAUAUGUUGUAAUCCUUUCCAUCAAAGUAAGGAGGUCUGGUAUUGCUUUGCCCUUCUACCAGCCCUGGAGCCAACAUACUAGCCAUGAAUCUUUAACUCUGAAGUAAAACACUUCAACAAAAGUGAGUACACAGCUCUGAUACCAAUUGAGAUAGCUAGUAUAAUCACCUAGAGGGGGUGAAUAGUGCACAAACAAAUUUUCGAUAUACGGAAGCNNNNNNNNNNNNNNNNNNNNNNNNNNNNNNNNNNNNNNNNNNNNNNNNNNNNNNNNNNNNNNNNNNNNNNNNNNNNNNNNNNNNNNNNNNNNNNNNNNNNNNNNNNNNNNNNNNNNNNNNNNNNNNNNNNNNNNNNNNNNNNNNNNNNNNNNNNNNNNNNNNNNNNNNNNNNNNNNNNNNNNNNNNNNNNNNNNNNNNNNNNNNNNNNNNNNNNNNNNNNNNNNNNNNNNNNNNNNNNNNNNNNNNNNNNNNNNNNNNNNNNNNNNNNNNNNNNNNNNNNNNNNNNNNNNNNNNNNNNNNNNNNNNNNNNNNNNNNNNNNNNNNNNNNNNNNUCGAACAACUAGAAGUCUUCUUAUAUACUCCUUCAUGCCAUCAUACCCGUGGCACUUACCAAAGGAAUUCCUCCAAUCUACCCAUUGGACGAAAUCAAUUAGGAAGAUCAUUCGAGCUAUUAAAGGAACAUCUCGAUAGCCCAUCAAUCAUGUUCGCCCAUACAAUUAGGAUCUCGGUUUCCAUAAGUAGAACCUUCCAAGUAAACUUUGCCAAUCAUCGGAUCCUUAAUUAUUCGAAUCAAUUGUGAUCAAAUAAAGAAUUCCGUUAUGUCACAUCCAGCCAAGAGAUCUUCUCCAGUCGAUAAGGCCACAUCCUUAAUGAAACAUCCAGUUCUGGAUAGCCUUUCUUCAACGGAUUAGAGACUAUCAAUGAGGAUAGACUUUGAGUCUUGAGUCUGGCUAUUCGGAGGUCUUCAGACUUUAAAUAGUAGAGUCUGCAAUCCUUCAAACUAGACUAAUGGAAACGUUUUGUCAACUUCAAAAUACUUCAAGAGGAAUUUCUCCAACAGCAAUGACAUUUGCCAGUUCCAACGAUUAUAAUGUUUUCAAUAAGCCAAAAUAACUACACAUACUUUGUUGCCUACGCAUGCGCAUUGCAGUGGAGAUCAAGUUAGCUGAUUAUUAUGAGAUUCCACCAAAAUCACCUGAGAUUUUUUUUUCCCUUUUUUAUACUUUUUAGUGGACUUUUGCCGCUUACUUGGAAAAGGCUAGGCAAUUGUCGUCGUCACUAACAACAGCAUUUGGAAACAGUGAUCCAAUUUGAUUAAGAGAAAAAUGAAAUUCAACAUAAUCUCAGCAUACUGCCAGAUAAACAACUUUGAUAUACAAAUCCCUUACUCCAGAUUAGAGGGAACAUAUAGACGAGUCCACAAUUCCAGCAGCACUUAAAAAAGGCAUUGACCAUAGAAUAUCAAAGUUGUAUGGUAGCUAGAGUCCAUAAGAGAGAGAGAGAGGGCAUCUCGGAUGAAAGACGUACAUGUAUUCCUCUAAAGUCAUACUCACCGUGCAAAUGAAAUUCCAAUGUGCCAUUUGGAACAAACUCAUAUACCAAAAUUCUAUGAGGACCAGAAAUGCAGUAACCAAUAAGCUCAACAAGGUGUCUGUGAUGAAUACAGCUAAUGAUCUCGACCUCUGCUUGAAAUUCCCUCUCUCCUUGUCCGCUUCCAGGUUUUAACUGCUUGAUUGCAACUACUUUCCCGCUCGAAAGUACUCCUUUAUAAACCAAGCCAAAACCACCUUGGCCAAGUAGGUGGAGAUUGGAGAAACCGUUUGUUGCUAUUUUUAGUUCUUCAUAUGUGAAUGUGCCCUGUGAAAGACCUAAUGCCGUGCCUGGAGAUGAUACCGAAGGUGGUCUUAAUGUACACGUAUUUGUUAUUGAGAAUGGCCCUGAAGGAGUCAGACUUCGGGAACUCGACAGAAUAAAAUUACGAAGAAUUUACGAAUUUUAAGAGCUCGCAGUCAAGCAUAGAAAUCUCACCUGUAGGCCCCUGUGGAGGAUAACUCCCCGACUCAAGCCGCCGGAUCUUCCUUCGAUAUAGAAUCACGGAUAUGUACGUUAUGGACGAUCCAACCAUCAAAAGGAGCCCCCCAAUCCCAAUCCCCAGAUACCCACGCACCGGUGGGGGAGGACUUGCCGUCGAGGCGUCACCUGUGGGAUACACCCCUGCCAUCGACGAGUGAGCCACCUAGCUCGCUGUUGGGACUUCAACAGAGGCCACCAGAGGCCCACGAGAUCGAUGCGUACGACGUUGCCCGGAGUGGAAUGAAAAUUGUUUUCAAAUAUUUUUGGGGAAUGAAAAUUGUUUUCAAAUAUUUUUGGGGAAGUUUUGGACGGAUGUAGUUCGAGUGGAUGACAGAUAGCCGGAAAAGUGAGGGCAAAAGCUGGGAGGAGCAUCCCAUAAAUAUGUUCUAAAAUUUCGUAUCUUUACAAAAAUCAGACUGUAGUGGUCCUUAGCAAGACCUUAAAAGAAUAUAACCACCACGAAAGUCCGGGAACAGCCAGAUAAGGGCUUGGAAAAAGAUUCCUUCCCCACGGGGGGUCCACCAAGGGACCUUUUAAAGGGUUUUCCUAACCCCCCAACUUGAGAAUAGGAGGCUGACCGUUUAAGUGCGAGACUAAACCUAUUCAAUGAUAGUUCCAGACCCUCAGAAGGGGUUUGGCUCGUAUCAUUUAAAAAAUGGAAAAUAUCAUAAACAAUCCCUAAACUUUCACUUAAUGUAUAAUCUCGUCCAUAGACUUUUAAUUCAUUCAAUUUGGUCCCUGAAUUAUCGGUAAAUGUCCGAUUUAGUCUCUGACUAUUUGAAAAUUGACCAAUUUCGUCCCUGAGCUUUUGAUUUGCUCAAUUUGGUCCAUGAACUAUUAACAAAUGUUCCAUCUAGUCCUUCCGUUUGUUCAAACCGUUAAGUGAUGAUGUGGAGUAUUAAUUGAUGACGUGGAACUAAAUUGGAUUACUAGAAUUAUGAGUCAAUAUAUAUCUUAAAAAAUAAAAACAAAUUAGGGGUCAGUUAGAGAUCAGAGCACUGAUCACAAAAGCAAAGAGAAGAAAUGGUUCUAUAUCUUUUUUUUUUGGACGAUGACCACAAUUUGACUUGUUUUAAAGGUAAUUUCCAUGUGGAUAUUCCACAUAUCCUUUUUUAUUUUAUAUUUAAGAAACUAAAAGCCAUGGAAGCCAAUUUCGUUAACUUUUACUAAUAGAAUGACGAAAUUGGUCAAUUUUCAAAUAGUCAGGGACUAGAUCGGACAUUUAUCGAUAAUUUAGGGACCAAAUUGAACAAAUUAAAAGUCUAGGGAUUAGAUUGCACAUUAAGUGGUAGUUUAGGGACCAAAUUGAGCAAAUCGAAAGCUCGGAGAUGAAAUUGAACAUUAGAUGAAAGUUCAAGAACCAUUUGUGACAUUUUCCCUAUAAAAAAAAUAAUAUAUAUAGUCUUGAAGGUUAAAAUCGUAUUUCACCUCAAAUAGAUAUGGUCUAAAUUAGGCUGCUAGAUGAAAAUUUUGCAAUAUUGCAUACUUUCUUAAGCCAAGCAUCGACUGUUUGUGACAUGGCUAGUUAAGAGUAAAGACGGAUUAAUCAACUUAUGCCUUUGCUAAAUCUAAUUCCACGGCUUGUUAUGCUAUCUUCUUUGGGAAAAUAUAAGGGAGGCAGAAAAGAAAAGUGGAAAGAAUCGAGAUUGGAUUUGAGGAGCAAAGCAUAAAUUGUGUUGAAUACUUGGGACUUACUUACUGAAGAUUUUUGCAAGUUUUUAAGCCAAUCAAUUUUCUAGUAAGAUUUGUGAAUUCCAGGAAAAUUGUCCAAGAAAUUUUAAACCUAUUGUAGCAUUACCAAUUUAAUCCUAAAAUUUUCAAUUUUAUCAAUUAAGUCCACUGGCAAAUUUUGGUUAGAAAUAACUAAUAUGAACGCCGAUCAUCUUACGCGAUAGGUCAGCGCUAAUAUGGACAAUUUUUAAUACUACUUCUUUUAUGUGCUUUUUUUGGGUCUCACCAAUGACCCUCGCUGGCUGUGGAGGCCUCCAUCGUCUCCGGUGAGGCCACAAAGGCCCUAGAUGAGACCAUCGCGACCCCACUGGCUGCGAACAAGGUGGUUCUCACCCAGAUCUUGCGAGGGCUACCUCAUCCUCUCCUGUAGCUGGCGAGGUUGUGAAGUCCUCACCUAGGGCCUCACUACAGAAACCCAAAAAAAAAAAAAAGCACAAAAAAAGGAAAAGAAGAAAUUCAAAAAUAAAAAUAAAAAUUCCAUGAAAUAUUAAAAUAUGAUUAAAAAGUAUCAAUGUCAGAGCCGACCAUCUAUGUUAGCAGUUUCUAGCAAAAAUUGGCAAUUUCGAACCAAAAUUGGUUGAAUGGGACUUAAUUGGCAAAAUAUGAAAGGGUUUAGACUCAAUUGAGAAAAUCGAAAUGUUUGGAACUGAAUUGGCAAAAAUUGAAUAACUUUACGAUUUUUUGGACAAUUUUUGCAUGAAUUCCUUUGCAAGAUUGGGUGAUUAAGUUUAAAGAGGAAUCGUGAGGACCAAACAAUGCAAUUAGAGAUAGGGAAAUACCAAGAGCAUUGCCUAAUUUAAAUAUGGUUGUAAUGUCCGUUUUAUUACCUGAUCAAUAGUAGAAUCAUGUGGUACCUUUGUCGUGUAAUCAUUCACACUAAUCGAAUCACUUAAAUUCAAUUUUCUAAUUUUCUUUUAUUUUGUUUAUUUUAUUAUUUGAUCACUGAAUCGCAAAUUAUAUUUAACGUUUGUCCUAACCAAUGACUAACGUAGAACCAAUUUCUAGAAGCAAGCUAAUAUUUUAGUAAAUUUGUACUCUAAACGUGAAAUGGACCCAGCUGUUGUCUGGUCAACGACGACCGCCGUGUCAUGCAAUCCCACUUUUUCUAAACGCACUUUUUCUUCCCUACUUUGUUGGACGAUCUGAUGAAGUGUGUCGUACGCCGUUGGACGUGGAACAUGGGAGAGUGGGACAUCGAGAAACUGUCCAUUUUGUGAAUGGGAACAUGAUCAUUUUUCUCCGAGUCCAGCUCAAUUGAGGUCACAAGACAAUCUACAUGGAUCAAUCAAUCCUAAUCAAAUUCCGUUGUUGAGUAAAAUAUGAAGGAUGUAAUCAAAUUCCUUUUGUCAAGUGAAAAAUGAAGGAUAUGGAAAAAAUAAUUAUUUAUUUCGCUUACAAAAAUGAUCAUAUUGACCAUUUUAUGAAGCUUGCUCUGGAGAGAUUUAACUGUUUUUGUUAAUUUGGAGUGCCGAAUGCUCCUUUCUAAUAGACGAUUGGAAAAUGAUGAAAGGGAACAUGAUUAAAAAUUGUUUAUGUUAACGCUAACUGUAUACGUUAGCAGUUUAUAGUCAAAAUUGGCAAUUUCUAACCAAAAUUGGCGAAAUUGACUCAAUUAGCAAAGUACAAAAAAAAAUUAGACCCAAUUGAGAAAAUUAAAAUAUUUAGAACUGAAUUUACGAUUUUUUGGACUUUUUUCGCAUGAAUUCCUUUGCAAGAUUGGGUGAUUUAGUUUAAUGAGGAAUUGUGAGGACCAAAUAAUGCAAUUAGGGAUAGGGAAAUACCAAGAGCAUUUGCCUAAUUUAAAUAUGGUUGUAAUGUCCGUUUUAUUACCCGAUCAAUAGUAGAAUCAUGCGGUACCCUUGUCGCGUAAUCGUUCACACUAAUUGAACCACUUAAAUUCAAUGUUCUAAUUAUUCUUUUAUUUUGUUUAUUUUAUUAUUUGAUCACUGAAGCACAAAUUAUAUUUAAUGUUUGUCCUAACCAAUGGUUAACGUAGAACCAAUUUCUAGAAGCAAGCUAAUAUUUUAGUAAAUUCGUACUCUUUAAACGUGAAAUGAGCCAAGCUGUUGUCAGGUCAACGACGACCGCCGUGUCAUGCACUCCCACUUUUUUCUAAACGCACGCUUUCUUCCCUACUUUGUUGGACGAUCUAAUGAAGUGUGUCGUACGAUGUUGUUGGAAAAUCAAGAUUUUCCAACGUGGAACAUGGGAGCGUGGGACAUCGAGAAACUGUCCAUUUUGUGAAUGGGAACAUGAUCAUUUUUCUCCAAGUCCAGCUCAGUUGAGGUCACAAGACAAUCACAAUGGAUCAAUCAAUCCUAAUCAAAUUUCGUUGCUGAGUGAAAAAUGAAGGAUCUAAUCAAAUUCCAUUUGUUGAGUGAAAAAUAAAAGAUCUGAAAAAAUGAUUAUUUAUUUCGCUUAUAAAAAUGAACAUAUUGACCAUUUUAUCAAGCUUGCUCUGGAGAGAUUUAACUAUUUUUGUUAAUCUGGCGUGCCGAAUGCUCCUUUCUAAUAGACGAUUGGAAAUUAUGAAAGGAAACAUGGUUAAAAAUUGUCCAUGUUAACGCUAACCGUAUACGUUAGCAGUUUCUGGUCAAAAUUGGCAAUUUUUAACCAAAAUUGACUGAAUGGACUCAAUUAGUAAAGUACAAAAAAAUUUAGACUCAAUUGAGAAAAUUAAAAUAUUUAGAACUAAAUUUACGAUUUUUUGGACAUUUUUCGCAUGAAUUCCUUUGCAAGAUUGGGUGAUUAAGUUUAAUGAGGAAUUGAGAGGACCAAAUAAUGCAAUUAGGGACAGGGAAAUACCGAGGGCAUUUGGCUGAUUUAAAUAUGGCUGUAAUGUCUAUUUUAUUACUCGAUCAGUAGUAGAAUCAUUCGGUAUUCUUAUUGUGAAAUCGGUCACACUAAUCUAACCACUUAAAUCCGGCGUUCUAAUUAUUCUUUUGUUUUGUUUAUUUUAUUAUAUGAUCACUGAAGCGCAAAUUAUAUUUAGCGUUUGUCGUAGCCAACGGUUAACGUAGAACCAAUUUCUGGAAGCAAGCUAAUAUUUUAGUAAAUUUGCACUCUUAAACAUGAAAUGAUGAGCUAAGUUGCUGCCUGGCCAACGACGACCCCCGUGUUAUGCACUCCCAAUUUUUCUAAACCCACUUUUUCUUCUCUUACUUUGUCGGACGAUGUGAUGAAGUGCGUCGCGCGCCGUGGAAAGUCAAGAUUUUCUAACGUGGAACGUGGGAGAGUGGGACAUCAAGAAUCUGUCCAUUUUGUUAAUGGGAACAUGAUCAUUUUUCUCCAAGUCCAGCUCGGUUGAGGUCACAAGACAAUCGCGAUGGAUCAAUCCAUCCUAAACAAAUUCCGUUUAUUAAGCGGAAAAUGAAGGAUCUGGAAAAAAUUAUGUCGUUUAUAAAAAUGAUCACAUUGACGGUUUUAUGAAGCUUGCUCUGGAGAGAUUUAACUGUUUUUGUUAAUCUAGCAUGUGGAAUGCUCCUUUCUAAUAGAAGACGGGAAAAUGAUAAAAGGAAAGCAGUAAGCAGGUAAAAGAUUUCUAAAAUUAUUACCGUGGAAUUUUUUAUUUUACAUAUUAUGCACUUCAUUACAACAAUAUAUAUAUUGGUAAGGAAUGACAUUACAACAAUAUAUUUGUGACGCUAUAAAAUAUUUUUUGCGACAUUUUACGAUAUUUUCUAUAUCAUAAAGGUGAAAAAUCAUGACUGUUUUGAUCAGUUAACAUCAAUAAACCCCAUCAUGAUGAUUAAUGAUUGCAACAACAAAAAAAAUACGUGGGUACAGAUAAGAAUUAUGCAGAAGAGUGUCAAAAUAAUAUCUGAAGGCUGCUGAUUUGUUGAAGGAUAGCUGCGAGUGGUAAUAAACGCGACCAGUGCGGUUGAUGUUGCUACAACCACCGAGGGAUAAGCCCCUUGGGUGCAUUUUAGAUAACAAAAGCUCCGAUACAAAUUAAAAAAUGCAAUCCAAAAGUUUAAACCGACAAUUGAAAGAAUAUAAAGAAUGUAUAAACCUCAUUGUCAAGCUUAAUUGAGCCGUGUAAGUGUUAUGGUAGAAAGGCAAUUAAUAUUUGACAUGUGUAGGAAAAUUCAAAUUAGACAACGUAUUGUUGGAGAAAUCUUCUUGAAAUGUUUUGAAGUUGACAAAACAUUUCUAUCAGUCUAGUCUGAAGGCUUGCAGACUCUGCUAUUUAAAGUCUGAAGACCUCCGGACAGCCAGACUCAAGACUCAAAGUCUAUCCUCAUUGACAGUCUCUAAUAUGUUGAAGAAAGGUUAUCCAGAACUGGAUGUUUCGUUAAGGAUUUAACCUUAUCAACUGGAGAAUAUCUCGUGGCUGGAGAAGACAUAAUGGAGUCCUUUGAUUGAUCGAAGAUUGACUCGAUAAUUGAAGAUCCGGUGAUUGCCUAAAUAUUAUUGGAAUGUUCUGCUUAUGGAAACCGAGAUCCUGAUUGUAUGGGCGAACAUGAUUGAUAGGCUAUCAACACGUUCCUUUAAUAGCUUGAACAAUCUUCCUAAUUGAUUCCGUCCAACGGAUAGAUUGGAGGAAUUCCUUUGGUAAGUGCCAACGGGUAUGAUGGCAUAAAGGAGUAUUUAAGGAAGACGGUCUUAGUUGUUCAAGGCGUGCGCGAUAGAAGAAUUCCAAAGUCUGAAGCUCCUUUUUGUUUAGACAAUUCCUUUUAGCGAAUAAUUGUAUACAAAAGAGAGUCUAUAUUUGUGAGAAAUCUUGAGGAGGUGUGGUAGAACAUCUACACUGUGGAAUCAAGGCAAAGCUGUGCUGUAACUUCUCUUUUGUUCAUAGUGGAAUCCAGCCAAUAGGCUGUCAAUGAAGAAGAGUGGACGUAGGCUUGAUAUAAGCCGAACCACUAUAAACCGCAUGUUCAAUUUUCUCUUCUCUCAGUCUUACUUUGAUUAUCGUUUCCUUCAACUGUCUAGUAUUGUGCAAUUGUUGAAGAAAAAUCUUUUAUAUACCUAUUCACCCCCCUCUAGGUACUCAUACUAGCAAUAUCACGUAUGACAUACAACGACCGCGAAGAACACCGUGUGCAUGGAGGCUUGCCAAUAUUUUGUGCUUAUAAACAAUGGAGGAGACUUGACUUAGCACUUGGAUAUGAAAUGAAAACCAGAACAACGACCACCCGAGCGCACGUAAAUAUGCUCUCUCUCUCUCUCUCUCUCUCUCUCUCUCUCUCUCUCUCUCUCUCUCUCUCUCUCUCUCUCUCUCUCUCUCUCUCUUCUUAAGCCANNNNNNNNNNNNNNNNNNNNNNNNNNNNNNNNNNNNNNNNNNNNNNNNNNNNNNNNNNNNNNNNNNNNNNNNNNNNNNNNNNNNNNNNNNNNNNNNNNNNNNNNNNNNNNNNNNNNNNNNNNNNNNNNNNNNNNNNNNNNNNNNNNNNNNNNNNNNNNNNNNNNNNNNNNNNNNNNNNNNNNNNNNNNNNNNNNNNNNNNNNNNNNNNNNNNNNNNNNNNNNNNGAGCCAAUGGAGCAGUUCUGCAGAUGAUCAAUAAUACCGAAGAUCAGGACACCAUCAGAACACCGAUACCCCCUAUCCGUGAGCUACCGGAGAGUGACGGAACCGAGGUAACGAUCUUAUUAAAACAUAAGAACCAGCUAUGGUCAGUCCGAUCCAUGAAAGCUGAACUGUACUUUAUUAGAGCAUGCCAUAAUCGUACGGCACGGCAAAUACAUAAAGAUGGGAACAAUUUGUCCCAAAGAGCUCUGAACUAGAGAUAAGCUAGUUGCUGAGUCCUCAAUCUGAGUGCCAGGCCGGUUCAGUCUGAUUCGUCUUCAGAAACAAAGAACUGGACCAAUUAUUUCCGAUUUUUAAGAUUCCAAACUAUGAACCGGACUGAUUAUUCCCUCAGGAACCACCCAUAACCAGCCAGUUUUGUCUGGUUUCCAAUUCGACCCUGAGACCGGUGCUCGCCCCUAGUUUUUACCAUAUAGAGAUUAUAUAUUCUCAUUGGAUGAUAGGACUGUUUGCAUUUCCUUCGCAUAAUUAUAGUAAUGAAUGGCCAUGAUCAUAUUGUAAGGGCAAAAACGUGGGAACAUAUCUAGAUGAAUGAUAAUUGUCUAAUCAUAAGAUCAACAACAUAUCUGGAUCUGGGCGUGCACACAGGAGGACGAAGCUCAUUUUUUUAUACUUUAAUAUCGUGGAUCGGUGAGAUAUCAGAUCCCACGAAGAUAGAAUAAAUCGCAUCGCACAAAAGCCACAUUCCACUAGGGAAUGGAGAAAGUAAUAACAAAUGAUGGAAUGUCACCGAACAAACAUACUAUACGUAAGAGUAUUUCCCUAUGCUUGAAAUGUACAUUCAACACUAAGAGUAACGUAGACAUACUACACGUAAACAUACUAUACGUAAGAGUUAUUCCUUAUGAUAAAUAUAAAAAAAUAAAAUAGCCUCCUCGAAUGAUUUGCUUAAUUUUGCAUGUAUCGUCCAAUAGGAUUUAUCACAUAGAAACCAAUAUAGUGAGAAGCCACUGCAGGUGAGUCUAUACAGUUAUGUUUACAAUGGAAAAUAUUCUUACAAUUAAAUGGAAGUUUCACUCCAAGUGAAGCAAUGACGAAUUCAAGAACUCUAAUUGAGCGAGAGAAGAGAAUUUGUAAUAUCUUAGAGGGGACAAAAUACACAUGUUGUGUGGUAUUAUUACUCAAGAAACUAUACAUGCAGGCCCUUCACAUAAAUUUCGCAAAACACAGGAGUUUUAAGGAAGUUUUUCAUAAGAAACUCUACAGAGUUUGGGAUACCUGGAGUGCCAAAACUUGGCACGAAGGGACACUUAAGUGCCAAAACUUUGAAAAUGUACACUUAAGUGCCACUUUCUUUGAAAAAUGGGACACUUAAGUACCACCUCCGGCGAACUUUGCCGGAAAUCCUACGUGGCAAUAUUUUAUUAUUUUUUCUUGUCUACGUGGCUCGCCGGAGAGCUCACUCAGCUGAAACUCACCCAAAACGACGUUGUUUGCAAAAUAAAAAUUAAACUACCAGCUAAAAUAUUCUAAAAAAUAAAAAUGUAUAAAUAAUUAAUACAAAAAUUAAUUAAAUUUAAUUUAAACUUAAAUUUAUUUAAAAUAUUCUAAAAAAUAAAAAAAAUAAAACUAAAAACCUAUAAAUUUAAAAAAAAAUUAAAAAAGGGCAAAGGGGGGCCGAAGGGGCGGCUAAGGGCUGAGCCCUCGCCACCGUUGCCUCCCCGCCGCCGCUGGGAAGGGCCGGUGACAGCGGCUAACCAGCGGCGAGGGCUUGCAAGCCCUUGCCGCCAGUCAAUCGAGGGCCAGCAACCCUAGCGACCCUCCCCCCUCAGGCCCCGGGUCGUCUUGUCCGCGGCCAGGAGGAGGGGGCCGGUUUUUUCGUCACGUAUCCCCACGGCCCAGGCCAAACNNNNNNNNNNNNNNNNNNNNNNNNNNNNNNNNNNNNNNNNNNNNNNNNNNNNNNNNNNNNNNNNNNNNNNNNNNNNNNNNNNNNNNNNNNNNNNNNNNNNNNNNNNNNNNNNNNNNNNNNNNNNNNNNNNNNNNNNNNNNNNNNNNNNNNNNNNNNNNNNNNNNNNNNNNNNNNGGCACUAAAGUGUCCCUCCGUGCCAAGUUUUGGCAGUUGAGCUGUUCUUCUGCCAAACUCUACAUGUAUAAACCACCGCGACCUCAGUCAACUUCAUAAGCAAUACAGAAACACAAUUCCACAUUAAUUACUACAUUGAUUUGGACCAGUAUGUGAAGGAUAUGAGCAACCAUCUGUAUGUUCGAUUAGACAAAUGUACAGGUUCGUCCUUCAACAAAGGAAUGGAAAGAGUACAGGAUGAUUACACUCAUACACCCUGACUACACCUAGAAAGAUUAUGAGAGAAACUCUUUUGAGCAUAAUGCAUUGAAUCCCAAUGCCCAUUAACCUUCUAGCCAAAAAUUACAGCAACCCACCCUUCCUAUGAGAUCAUGAGAAAAAGAUCAUACCUACUUAUAGUUUCAUCAUACCUGUCACGCCCCGAACCCCGAGUACGCGCACAUCCCUCGGUGGUCAAUUAAAAAUGCGACGUCCUAGGACACGUUGCCGAUCCAUUCUUUUUAUCUUUCAAUUUAGCACAUGUGGAAGCGAACUAAAUAAACACCCGGCCAACAAACAAACAUAGGGAUAGUAACAACUCACAACAAAAGUUGACGAAAGCAACUUAUUUAUUUAACCACUGUUGUCCCUAGGAAGUUUAAGGAUUUACAAGUCCUUACACUGGCAACUUCCAACCGACCCUCCCAAAAACCUUCAGGGGCUAAGGCAAUCUAAACUUCACUAGUGAGGACUAGCCAAAGGUGUCGCAUCUCGCGCCCACCACAUCCGCACUCAGCAGAUUUCCACGCUAUGGCCCUAAAAAUAGUUAGCCCACAACAGGAUGAAAUAAAUCUCAACGAGUCAAAACCCUAAACCCCGAUUAGGACGCAAAUUCGCCUCGAAUGCGGUCCUAAUCAUGCAUCAUACAAAGCUCACCUCGCCUCGGCGCAUCCCUGCAUGUUAGCUCAUCACAUAUGCCAUUAUAAAUAUCAUAGGCACAAUUAAUAACCGGUACACAUUAAUCUCAUCCUUUAAACAAUCACAUGGGUCAUGAUUAUAAGGUAAAACUAUUAUGACACGUUCCAUACCGCGCCAUACAAUUUUACCCCAUAAUCAAGCGCAAUAGCACAGCCACUCAGGCGUGUUACGAUUAUUACGACCCAUCGGCCACCGCUAACUCAACAUUCAAUGGUCAUCCAGCAUAACCGAGCAUCGUCCCGCUCCGUCGAGCAUGGCAACAUCUAGAACCCCCACCUAGACGGCAUUCCAUAAAGGAACAUCGAUCGGCCUCCACUGCGACUCGACUUCCGGACCCCCGCCAGGCAUCCGAUAAAAAUCGGGCAUCGUCCCCAAACUUCGGUUGGGUGACGAGUUCCACUUAGUGACCACACGCACACACAUACUUGGCCAAGAGCACCGUGCUUUGCAUUCAAAUACCUCGCUUUCAAAUAAUGAACUUGGCCCCUUUUCUUCGUAUUAAAAAUCUCGGUAAAAUAAUCGUGCGUGGUCACGUACUUAAAUCAAACCAUUAAACAUAGUACGCUCCCAUUCCAAAUUCCACGAUUUCAUAUAGUACAUAAAAAUUGGCGUCAAAAAUCGACACCUAGUAUUUUUCUAUUUAAAAGCCCAUAAAAUUGAGUUUUGUAAUAAUAAUUGACAACUACCACCAAGCACUCAAUUGCUCAUCAUAGCACAUAUAAACAAUCAAAUUCACUUAUAAAUUCACUCACGAGAACAAGCGUAAAAUUAUGAAAAAAUGACUAAUCCGUCACUAAUUACACUAAUUACAAUUAAUUAAACUGAACCACUUAAUUAACCUAACCAUGCAGACACAUCAUCAAUCAAGUCAACUUUAUCUUCCAUCAUAUAGCCAUGAACACCAAAACCCCUUUCUAAAAAAAAUCAACUUAGCAAUCCCUUUUUUUUUGUUCAAACCUCCCGAAAUAAAUUCGUACGGGGUCACGUAUUUGAAAUCAACCCGCCAAACUUUGCACGCAUCUAAUUUGAAACCUCACGGAUCUAUUGAGCACGUAAAACCUCGUGUCCAACCCGACACCUCAUUUUUUUUUUCCAUUUUCUUGCCCAUCCUUCCUUUUUGAAAACAGUUUUUAGUAACCCUUUUUUUUCUUUAAAACUUUUGGAAAGAAAUUCAUAGGUGCUCUCGUACUCAAAAUUAAUCCGUCAAAAUUUGCACGCACCUAGUUUAAAAUCUCAUUGUUUUGUUGAGCAAAUAAUUUUUGGUGUCCCAACCCGACACCUCAUUGUUUUUCUAUUUAAAAGCUUAUAAAGCCAUCUUUUGCAAUAACAAUCGAAGCUAACAUCGAGCAACCAAUAUCAUAACAUCACACAUAAGUUCUUAGCAUGCCAAAAGUCAACCACAUCACAAAAUAUGCAUUAUCUAGCAAGCAAGACACCAAGAACAACCACUAGACCACAACUGGCCCUUACCAGCAUAAACCAGGCCACUCGCGCGUCUCUAAGAUUAAUUUCAGAAACAUAAUCAAAUGAGUUCGGACAAUUCUCAAAUUUGAAUAUGUUAUAUGUUGACACCUAAUUUUAGCAGAUCUAGGAAAAUAAAGAAAAAUAAAAUUGUAUGAGGACAAAUAAAAGGAAAAAAAUGAAAGAAAAUGGGGGAAAUUGAUUUGAUUGAUUAUGCAUGGAAAUUUGAAAUUCUUAUGAGUAUUCGAAUUUUGUUAAAUGCAGAAGCAAUUUAAAAAUCAAGCGAAUAAGGGGCAAGAAUUUUUUAAAUCUGAGCAAGAUCGAGCUGAUUGCGAAAUCAUGCUCCAAUUUACAGAUUUGAUUUAAUAUGAUAGAAGAUGGAAACUCAGAAAAGACCAUACAAAGCGGCCGCCUAGAAUCAUUAUAAAAGAGAGCUACAUUUUUCGUGACUAAGGAGGAUGGGCUAAAAAAAAGAGAGAGAAAAGAAUUCAUGCAAAAAAAAAAAAAAGAAAAAAAGAGAGAAACCUCCCCUUUCCCAUACAAAAAAAAGAGUCAAAAGUCAAAAAAAAAAAAAAACCCUAGCUACUGUUCGUCUUCCUCGGUGGGCUCGUCUCCCGCCGGCAGUGCUUCGUCUUCCCCCCGACUGCGCCAGUACAUGCCUCGUCAGUCACCAUGCCGGCACCGCGACGCCGGGCAUCCCUGCGCCUCACCACCUUGCCACCUCGAUCGCCUCUACCACACUGCGCCACCGUAGAUCGCGACACUGGCGACCCGACGCCUUUUGCCUGUAGCUUCGACGGAUGGCCUCCCCCCCCCCCCGAUCUGAACGCCGAUUCUGCAGCCGCUCGAGUUUGCCGCCCAUGACCUGCAGUGCUCGACGGCCCCUCCGUCUCUACCGCUACCGACGACCCGCUGUCUCCACCCAUUGAUCGAGCGCCAGCCCCUCCGAGCAACAGCACCACAACAACCCUAGCUACUCUACCCCAACACUAGUCCUUGCUACCCAUGGCCAACGCCGUUGCUGCACCCUGUCCUCCCCUACACCAGCGCCGCCCAGCGUCAGCCGCCCGAGGACCUACACCGGCCAUCGUUGUCAUGCCCCGAUCCUCGGGCACGCGCCCAUCCCUCACCUUAGUUGAUUAAAAAUUUGCGAUAUCCCAGGACGUAUCACCGAUCCUUUCAUUUUCAUAUGUACAUGCGGAAGCAAUUAAAAAUCCCCAAACAAUAAAACAUUUGGAUAGAACAAUAAAACUAAAUUUCAAACUCUUAAAAACCUUUACUCUUAUAUACAAGAUGAACUAUUAAAUUUAAUUCACAUUAAGCCAGUUUAAAAACAAGGUCUACAAGCAGAAGUGGGGUUCUACAAGCUACGGGUCCCCAUCCUCCUCUUCAUCAUCCUCUACACUCCAACUGGAGCCUUCAGCAGACUACACCGGACUUUCAAGAUCUUCAAAAUCCAAGUCUACUGUAUCUAGGGAACUAAAAUGGUUAUUCAAUAACCAAUGAGACAAUGUCUAAGCAAUUUCUACCCCCUAAGACCCGAUUAGUAAACCAAUACACUUUAGGGUUGCCUAUACACAACACAAGUUAGAGGACUUACCUUGGCACCAGAUUCCGCCCUGCAUAUUAGCACAGUUCAAAUAGGCACCCAAUCAUAUCAUCAUGGAUCGAUAAUUCGAUCAAUCGACCUAAUCGAUUACAUGUCAAGCAGACCAUUUAUUGGUCGGCCCCUUUCAUACUCUCUGUAAGUCUAAUCCACAUCCAAGACUACUCACCCUAGGUGAUAUAUAGAUAGUAUAUUAUCCUAUCUCCAUAUGACAUAUAGAGACAUCAAGCUAUCAAAUCGUACCGUACUAUCUCAAGAUGAUAUCUAAAAUUAUCGAGCCAGUAUAUCAUACGGUACUAUCUUAAGAUAAUCUGUAGAGUCACCGAGCCGAUAUACACACGAUUUGUCAUACCGUACUGUCUUAAGAUGCUCCGUAGAGACAUCGAGCCGGUAGAUCAUACAAUUUAUCAUACCGUACUGUCUCAAGAUGAUCUAUAGAAUUAUCGAGCCGGUGUAUCAUACCGUACUGUCUCAAGAUAAUCUGUAGAGUAACCAAGCCGGUAGAUCAUACCGUCCUAUCUCAAGAUGCUCCGUAGAGUCAUCGAGCCAAUAUACAUGCCAUUCCAAGCAAACAAUCAAAUAACCAUUUUUAUCCCUUUCGAUAAAAUAGCCAUGUGUGGAGACACGAUCGGCCUUAACCAAAAUAUUAUAAUUUCACUUUUUGAAUAUCUCACCAUUUUCUGUAGUCCACCAAAAUAUUUUUGGCACUGUCAAGCGAUGCUUGGUUAUUUUUCAAUUAAUAACCAAAAUUUAUUCAAUUUAGGAAUAAAUCCUAAAAUCACCAAUAAAUCAAUUUCUCACAAUUUUAAGGCUCGAAUAAAUAAAUGGACUGCACCACCACAAUCAACAUGAAACUCCAGUCACCAGCCAUCCCGGUUGAAUUUCCGGAAAAAUAAAUAAUUAAAUAUAUAACUUCGAAAAUUAAAUAAAUAAAUAUUAAAAAUCCACUUUAGGCUUGUAAUGCCUAAUUGAAAAUCGAUAAGGGUUGAGAAAAAUCCCGAGAUGCAUUCAAUAAAUAUUAGAAGCUCUCUACUCGCUAAUGACUAAGUCUAACCACCUAACAUGCAUCAUUAAGUCACUAAUUUAAUUGUUCUAAACUAAUCUAACCACCUAAUUGCACUUAAUUAAGUCUAAUCAACUCUUAGGCAUAAUUAGCAAACUAAGAAGGCAUUAGUGAGUAAAACUCACUUGGCAAAGCGAAGAUCGGAACACCGCAACGGCGACACGACGGCGGCCGAAUUCCAACUUUUCAACGUCGUGGACAAACACUCGGGCCGGGCCGGGCCAAGAAACUUUGCAAGCCUGCAGAAAUUCUGGGCUUUGGCCUACUGAAAUUCUUGGUUGAGCUUGAUCUGGGCUUUUGAAAUUUUCGUGGGCUGAACAUUGGGCUGGGCUUCGUUGGAUUGGGUUUUAAAUUAACCAAUUUCACUGGCUUGCUGGGCUUGCGGGCUUCAUCUAGGCUGAGCUGCUGGAGGAGAUGGAUUGUUGGGCCCGAGUAAAGAAGCAGCAAGGGCUGCUGGACCUCUCGAAGGCUGCUGGGCCGAGAAGUUGCUGGUGUGGGGUUGGGCUACGGACAAACGAAGGAAACGGUUGGGCUCGCGGGACUAAAACUCUGUUGGAUCGAAUUCAAGCAAUCCGCGGGCGUGAAGGCAGGAGGUGGUCAACAACGGAGCUGCUGGUUGACUGCACACACGGAAGACUCGAGGAACAGCUGAGUGUUGGCCGCGUGGAGGAAGUUGCUGGGUGACGCACGGGCAAAGAGCUGGAGAAAUCGACUUUGCUUCGGCUUGUUGACUCACGCGUGGCAAAGAAAUCCGGUGGACGUUGAAGAUGCUGCAGUGUUGACCGAUGGAUGGAGAUCUCGGUGGACUUGUUUCGUGGCUUCGGUGGAGUGUGGCUUCUGUCGGCAAGGCUUCAUGGAAUUGGGUUGUCUUCGGUGAGUGGGCUUCGUUGGAAUUCUGGGGCUUCCUCAGACGGUGGUAGCUCGGCCAAAAUUGAAGACGCGUGGAUGGCCGAUUGAAAUCGCUGGCGUGGAUCGAAGCUGCUGCAGCGUUGACUGGACUGACUGAAGACUCGAACGCGGCACGGCUGCAACGUGAGGUGUGCUGGCAUGAGUUGAGCGAGGAGAACACCGAGCGGAGCAGCUUCUACCGUGAGUUGCUUCAAUCGGUGGUGUUGGACGAUGCACCAAACCAAAAGAAAAAAAGAAGGGCUUCGGUGCUACUGGACGUGUGGGCGUGGCUGCAUGCGGCUUCGGUGAGGGAGAGUUGGCAACUUCAAUGGAUGUUGCUUGAACGGUGGAGGCAGAAGACACGAAGAUGGGCUGAGCUUCGGUGACGUCGAUUCAAAGGAAAUGAGAAGCAAAAGCAACAAAGAAGGGAGAGAGGGGGUGCUUGGGGUGUUGGAGAAAACUUCCCUAUUUGUUUUGAAGUUGACAAAACGUUUCUAUCAGUCUAGUCUAAAGACUUGCAGACUUUAUCGUCAAAGUCUGAAGACCUCCAAACUCAAGAUUUUAAGUCUGCCCUCAUUAACAAUUUUCAGACCGACGAAGAAAAAGUAUUAUUCGUUGAAUUAGACGAGUAUCUCUUUAAGAAUUUGAUUCGUGUGGUUAAGGAAGAUCUCACGGCUGGAGAUAGCAUCACAAGAUCUAUUAUUCGUAUUGAGAUUAAUUCGAGUAACUUAGAUACGAUUGAUUAGCGAAAUAUACUUGGAAGGUUCUAGUUAUGGAAACAUAGAUCAUGAUUGUAUGAGAAAGCAAGAUUGGUGGGCUAUCAUCACAUUCCUCAAAUAACUCGAGAUCUCCCUAAUUGAUUAUAUCCAACGGGUUGAUUGGAAGAACUCAUUUGAAAGGUGUCAACGGUUAUGAAGGCAUGAAGAAGUAUAUAAGGAAGAUGCUCAAGUUGACCGAGAGUGCUCAAUAGAAAAAUUCCAAAGUCUAAAGCUUAUUGUUCUUUGCGAUCUCAUUUGUUGAGCUUUAUUUGUACUCAAAAGAGAGAUUAGAUAAUUGUGUGACCUUGAGGAAGUGUAGUAGAGUCUCUACAUUGUGGAAUCAAGGACGUGAAACUCUAAAUUCUCUUUUUAUUCUUAGUGGAAUCCAGUCGAUGGGCUAUCAGUGCGGGAGAGUGGACGUAGGCUUGGUCUAAGCCGAACCACUAUAAACCUAGUGUCUUGAUUCUCUAUCCCUAAACUCUUUCCUUUACAUCCCAACUCUUUAUGACAGUUUAUUGUCUUCACGCUUUCAAUUUAUCAAUCUUAGAAACUAAGUUGUUUUGUUAAGAUUCGCAAAAACUUCUUUGAUCACCUAUUCACCCCCUCUAGGUGCUCGUACUAGUCCUAUCAAUUGGUAUCAGAGCUUGUGUACUUAUUUAAUUGAAGUGUUUUUACUUCGGAGUUAAAGAUCUAUGGCUAGUAUGUUGGCUCUAGGUUUGGUUGAAGGCUAGAGCAACACCAGACCUCCUUACUUUGAUGGAAAGGAUUACAGAAUAUGGAAAAACAAGAUGAAAGCAUUCCUAAGAUCGAAAGAUCCCCUAGAAUGGGAUGUAGUAGAAAAAUGAAUCAUUCCUACAAUUGCAUCAAGAUCAGAAAAAGGAAAAGAAGUUGCAGUUCCUAGCGAGAUGACUCAAGAAGAAAUACCAAGAGACAAGCUUUUGAUGCUAAAGCAAUUUACUAUUUAUAUUGUGCAUUAUCUCCUACUGAAUAUAACAGAAUUUCUUCUUGUGAAACAGCUAAAGAAGUCUGGGAUAGGCUGCACAUUACAUACGAAGGAACUGAUCGAGUGAAAGAGACAAGGAUCAAUAUCCUUCUAGGACAAUAUGAAGUCUUCAAAAUGAAACCAAGAGAAUCUAUCACUAAUAUGUUUAGCCGUUUUACUGAAAUUGUGAAUGACUUAGAAUAUCAGGGACAACCAAUCUCAGGACCAAUGAAGGUCAACAAAUUGCUGCGUAGACUCUCCAAAGACUGGAAUCAUAUAAAGACUUCGAUAAGGGAAACACAAAGGAUUGCACCACUUUCUGUAGACGAAUUGGUUGGCACACUUCAGUCUUAUGAAGUGGAACAAAUCAAUGAUGAAGAAGAUCCCAAAGGUAAGAAGUCUAUUUCUUUAAAGUCUAACAAUGAUUCUGAUGUUACAGACUCUGAAGAAGACUUAGAUGAUGAAGAGCUAGCACUUAUGAUAAAGAGGUUCAGAAAACUGAAAAAAAAAAAAAAAAAAAGGAAGAAGAUUCAAUUGGAAGAAAGAAAGUACUCAAAAGUUUCAUAACAAGUCAACUGAGGAUGAUGAAUCCAAUAAAGACGUGAUUUGCUUUGAAUGCAAGAAAAAGGGACACAUCAGACCCAACUGUCAUUUAUUAAAGAAAAAUAAAGGAAAAACUAAGAAAUACAGAAAGGCUCUCAAAGCAGAAACAUGGAGUGAUAUUGAAUGUGAAGAAAGUGAUGAUGAUUAUGCAAACAUUUGCUUAAUGGCAAAAUCGGAAUCAGACUCAGACUCUAAGACAAAUACAGACUCAGACUUAGACAGUGAAAUCAAGGUAAGUAAUUUAAAAAUUCCUACUAAAGUCUCGAAAUAUAUUGAUGAACUUUGUCUUAGCCUCAAAACUUCUCUUAAAAGGAUCUCCGAGUUAAAAAAAAAGGGAGAAUUCUACAUUGACGCAAUAGGAAAAAUCUUGGAAAGAAAAGUUUGAAAAUUUAGACAAAAGUUUUGUUAUUUUGAAAGAAUGCAAACUCUCUUUCAAACGAAAAUACUUUCUUAAAAAAUGACAUUUCAAACAUUCCAAAAAGGUUUUCAAUUGGAUCUAAGAAGUUGGAUAAGAUUCUUUUGAUACGAAGACCCUACUUUAACAAAUUAGGUUUAGGAAUGACCUCUGAAACCAUUCCUCUAAUUGAUUUUCCAAAGGUAAAUGAAAGAAUCAAACAGAGACCUACAAAACUUUUUUAUAAAAAUCAUUUUCAAAAAGUCUUUGUAAAACCUGUUGGCGGAAAUGCUCUCAAAUGUUUGAAGUGUCACAGCUCAAAACACUUUGAGAAAGAAUGUCCUAUGGUUUGGAGACUUGUUAAAAAGGAUUGGGCAAAGACUGUUUAUUGCACUAACUCCACUGAACCCAAGAAAAAUAUGGGUACCAAAGAAAGCUUGAAUUUUCUUUUAAUUGUAGGUCACUAUCAAAAGGAAGAUUAAAUGGUAUUUGGCUAGUGGCUGCUCAGACACAUGACAGGAGAUUCAAGUUGUUUUAUAAAAAUUGUUCAAAUAGAUGGAGAAAAAGUCUCUUUUGGUGGAAAUAGCAAAAGAAAAAUUGUUGGUUGUGGAACAGUAAAGAUUGGAAGUCUAACCAUCAACAAUGUCUCCUUGGUGGAAUGACUGAAUUACAAUCUACUCAGCAUAAGCAAAUUGUCCGACACUGGAUUCAAAAUCAAUUUUUAGGAAGGAACAUGUUCAGGAACUAGUAAAGAUUUCUCUCAAUCUUUUACUAAGCGUAGACAUGGGAAUAUUUAUCUUUUGGAUAUAAAACCAGAAAGAUCGCAAUGCUUGAUAUCAAUACAAGAUGAAGCGAAUCUCUGGCAUCGGAAGCUUGGCCAUAUCAACAUGAAGCAAAUUGCCAAAAUCUCUUCCAAGAAGUUUGUCUGUGGACUACCCAACCUAAAAUACCAAAAAUCUUAUUUAUGCAUACCAUAUGUGUUGGGAAAACAGGUUAAAAGUUCUUUUAAACCAAUAAAUCAAAUUUCCACUAAUCGUGUGCUGCAGCUCCUACAUAUGGAUCUCUUUGGACCAAUUAGAACUCAAAGCAUUGGUGGAAAAAGAUUUUGCCUAGUAAUACUGACUCAUUUUUAACGAAUUACUUAGGUCUACUUUCUUGCAAGUAAGUCUGAAACCUUCUCUCACUUUUUAAAGUUUGCUAAGAAAGUGCAAAAUGAGAAAGGUUAUACUAUUUCAAGCAUACGGACAGACCAUGGAGGUGGGUUUGAAAAUCAAGAUUUUGCUAAAUUUUGUGAUGAAUAUGGUUUUCAGCAUAAGUUCUCCUCUCCAUAUACACCAAAAUAAAAUGGAGUUGUGGAAAAGAAGAAUAGAUCUUUACAAGAAAUGGCAAUAACUUUUUUAAUUAAAAGUAACAUUUCUUCUCGUUUUUGGGCUGAAGCAGUUUCUACAGCAUGUUAUGUUAUUAACAGAGUAUUCUUAAGGCAUAUUCUUGAGAAAACUCUCUAUGAGUUAUUCAAAGGAAAGAAGCCAAUUGUUUUUUUUUUCAAGUGUUUGGUUGCAAAUGUUUUAUCUUGAAAAAUGCAAAUGAUCAAGUUGAUAAGUUUGAAGAAAAAUCAGACGAAAGAAUCUUCCUCGGAUAUUCAACCUCUAGCAAAGCUUACAUAAUAUUCAACAAGAAGACUCAAAUUGUGGUAGAAUCGAUGAAUGUCAAAUUUUUAGACUCUUUGCAAAAUCAAUCAAUUCAGACUCAAACUGAAGAAUCUGAACCUACUCCAGACUUUACAAGGUCUACCUCCCCUGACGCAACUCAGACUCUAGUAGAAAAACAACAAACAUAUGUCAAAGAAUCAACUGAAGAAAAAGAUCAACAAUUUGUCAGACUGACCAGCAAUUGGAAGCAUAAGUCUAGUCAUCCUGAAGAACUCAUUAUUAGUGUUAUUAAUGAAGGGAUUCUUACCAAAUCCAAAAAGCAAGAAGAGUCUAAUGCUGUGGCACUUAUUUCCGAAAUAUAACCCAAAAGCAUAGAAGAAGCAUUAACUGACAAAAGCUGGAUUGAAGCAAUGCAAGAAGAACUCAGGCAAUUAAGCAUUAAUGAUGUUUGGGAAUGAACUCCUAAACCAAAAGGUAAGUCUAUUUAAAUGGGUUUUCAGGAACAAGAUGGACAAAAAAGGAAAAGUGGUAAGGAACAAAACAAGACUCAUGGCCAAAGGAUAUACACAAGAAGAAUGGAUAGACUAUGAUGAGACUUACACUCCUGUAGCAAGGUUAGAAGCAAUUAGAUUAUUACUUACUUUUGCUUGUUAUAAGAAUUUCAGGUUAUUCCAAAUGGACGUCAAAAGUGCAUUCCUAAAUGGAUUUAUUCAAGAAGAAGUCUAUGUGGAACAACCCCCUGGAUUUGAAGAUCCAAAGAAACCAGACUUUGUAUUCAGACUGAAAAAGGCUCUCUAUGGUUUAAAACAAGCACCUCGAGCUUGGUACGAAAGGUUAAGUAAGUUCUUAAUUCAAAAUGGUUUUGUUAAAGGAAAAGUAGACACUACCUUGUUUAUUAAAAGGGAAGGUAAAUACUUCUUACUUGUUCAAAUUUAUGUUGACGACAUUAUAUUUGGAUCAUCUAACGAGAAUCUGUGCAAGAAAUUUUCUAAGUCUAUGCAGGAUGAAUUCGAGAUGAGCAUGAUGGGUGAACUAUCCUUCUUUCUUGAACUACAAGUGAAACAAUUGAGAGAAGGAAUUUUCAUUCAUCAAGAAAAAUAUGCAAAAGAACUUAUUAAAAAAUUUGGAUUGGAGAAUUGCAAAAAGACUGAUAUACCAAUGUUAAGUUCUUCGAAGUUGGACAAAGAUGAAGGAAGAAAGAAAGUUGACCAAAAACUAUACAGGAGUAUCAUUGCUUCACUUCUUUAUCUUACUGCUUCUAGACCUGACAUUUUGUUUAGUGUUUGUAUUUGUGUUAGAUUUAAAUCAGAUCCCAAAGAAUCACAUCUAAGUGCUACGAAAUGCAUCAUCAAAUACGUUGCAAUAACCUCUAAGUUAGGUCUAUGGUAUCCCAAAGAAUGAGACUUUACUCUCCUUAGAUAUUCAGACGCAGAUCUAGCAGGUUGCAGAGUUGAUAGAAAAAGCACAUCCGGCACUUGUCAAUUGCUUGGUAACAAGGCAGUAUCUUGGUUUUCAAUGAAGCAAAGUACUGUAGCUCUUUCAAUAAAAAAAAAAAGCAGAGUAUGUGGCUCUUGGAAGUUGCUGUUCUCAAAUCUUAUGGAUAAAACAACAACUAAGAGACUUUGGAAUCGAAGACUUAUGCACCGAGAUCAAAUGUGACAACACCAGCGCAAUUAAUCUCACAAAGAAUCCUAUUCUUCAUUCGAGAGCAAAGCACAUAGAGAUUCGACACCAUUUUAUUAGAAAUCAUGUUCAAAAUGGAGAAUUCUUGAUCCAAUUCAUUGACUCAAAGAAUCAACUGGCAGACAUAUUCACAAAACAUCUAGAGAAAAGGUUAUUUGAGUCUAUAUGUUCCAGACUUAAUAUCUUAUCUCUUAAAGACUGAUGAAGUUUAGACUCAAGGAUAAAAUCUGAAGAAGCUUAGACUCAUAAAAGAUUAGACUUAGAAGACCAAAAGUUACGAUUGUAAGUUAUUUUGGUUACAGUAUUUUAACUUUUGAAUAAAAAUCUCGAAAAGGUAAGAUUGUUUAUUAAUCGCCAAUUAAUUGAUAUUGAAAAGACAGUUAUCUAUUUUCAAAAAGGUAGUUAUUCAUUUUUGAAAAGGCAUUUUUAUUUUUCCUUUUGUGACAAUUCGUAUACCCUGUUUCAACUGGUUUAUAUAUUGUUCCUCUUCUUCAUUUUUACCCAUAAACCCUAGAGCACAGAUCUUCACUUUCUUACUUUUUCUCUCUAGUUUAAUCCAUAAAGUUUUCAUCUUUCUCGCAAAUCGAGUUCGAAAAUUCUCUCAAAUACUGUGACAAUGUCUUUUCAAAGAAAGUCAUCAAGGAUUGCAAGUAAGGGACCACAACUUAUGCAUGAGGGUCCUACGCACUUCGGUCUGACUAAGGAAGAAGACUCUUCUAGAAAGCAGCAAAGUCAACAACAACAUUCUCAACCGUGCCAUUCUUCUCAGGAUAGAACACAAGAGCAUCAUCAACAACAAGCAGAGGAAGAAAUUAUUGAGGAUGUCGAACCUGUCAAUGGCAAAGGACAAGGGAAAACUUCCUUAUUCUGCUUUCAUUACUCGUUUAUUUAGACAUUUCAACAUUCAGCCUCCCAAAAUUCUGUGUGUUCGAACCAUUGAUCAAAUGGUGAUAGGGAUGAAGAUGGUUACAAAGAUGCGUUUGAAGGAGCUGAACAAGACUUUAGAGAGUUUGAAGGAGAAGACCCAUGUCAAGUCUCGACAAGAGCCUAUGGCUGCAAAAAGGAAAGGCAAGGAGCCCAUGACAGCUCCAUCUAAGAAGAGAAAAGCAAUCAUCUUGCAAGAUGAAGAAGAUGAGAACGACAUUGCUAUCUCCGCUCUUGCCUUAAAGAAUGUAUAGUGUCUUGUUCCAGAAUAUGAAGAUCGAGACAACCAAGACAGAGAGAAGACAGAGAAAAGGAGUGAAGAGAGGGAAAGCAUGAGGAAAGAAGAAGGAGGAAGAAAAGAAGAAAACGAGCAAAGAGGAGAACAAACUGAAGGAGAAAGUCAUGGUGAUUUUCCAGCAGAAGAAGAAGCACAAGAACAUUGUGACAUUGAAGAAGAACCUGAGCAAGAAGAGUACUUCUCUCCACCUGAAGGUACUGAAAUAGGAGGAGUUGCUGAUAAAGGAGGUAUUCCUCUACUUGCUUUUACCAGUGAUGAUGUUAGUCGUUCUCCUGCCGAUCCAGAGGAUGUGUAUGCCUCUCAAUUUCCUAAAUAAGGUAAUGAGGUUUCAUCUCCAAGUCUGGAUGCUCGUGCUGAAGUUCCAUCAUCUGGCUAUACUCCACAAACUGAUCAUGCUGAAGCAAGCACCCGAACUGAUAACUCAGCAGACUUUAAAAGAUUGAUUGAAAUUCUUCUAGAGAUCAAAGUCCAGAUUUAUUCCUUGGGAUGUGAAUUGCAGACCCUGCAGAAUGCUCAUAAAGCCACUUCAGUUUCUAUGCAAGAUCAAGUUCAAGCCUUUAAUCUUCAAAUUCAAGCAAAUGCGAAGGGUAAGGAUCUAGCGCAACUGCAGUAGGAUCUGAGAAAGCUGGAGAAGACUGUCAAGUCUAUGGGAGAUUUUUAGCUCAUUUGCAUUCCCAAAUCAUCUUAAUUUUAUUCUCUUUAUCUUCUCUACCUUUUGAUGUUGACAAAAAGGGGGGGAAGUUGGUGCAGAUUUGAUAUUUGACUAUCUUUUUUUAUUUUUGGUUGAUUUUUUAUUAUGUUUUGACUUAUCUUUUGUUUGGAUGGACUGGUUUUGAUUGCUUUGAUCUUUUAAUGCUUACAAGUGUCUUAAGCUAUGUUGAUGAUUUUGGUAAAGAUAAUUGCUUUUACAGGUCUAACUUAUUUUCUGUGGAUGCAGAAGCACUACUAUCUUUAUCCUAAUCUGCUUAUCUUUUAUGAGAUAUCUUUGUUUGCUUAAGUAUUGUAUUGCAGGUCGAAAGUAUCCAAAUCUGCAAGAAAGUUUUGUCUCCAUAAAAAAAAAGGGGGGGGGGGAGAUUAUUGGAGAAAACUUCCAUAUUUGUUUUGAAGUUGACAAAACGUUUCCAUUAGUCUAGUCUGAAGACUUGCAGACUCUAUCAUCAAAGUCUGAAGACCUCCAGACUCAAGAUUUAAAGUCUGCCCUCAUUGACAGUUUUCAGAUUGACGAAGAAAAAGUAUUAUUCGUUGAAUUAUACGAGUAUAUCUUUAAGAAUUUGAUUCGUGUGGUUAAGGAAGAUCUCACGGCUGGACAUAGCAUCACAAGAUCUAUUAUUCAUAUUGAGAUUAAUUCGAGUAACUUAGAUCAAAUUGAUCAGCGAAGUAUACUUGAAAGGUUCUACUUAUGGAAACCUAGAUCCUGAUUAUAUAGGAGAGCAGGAUUGGUGGAAGAACUCCUUUGGAAGAUGCCAAUGGUUAUGAAGGCAUGGAAGAGUAUAUAAGGAAGACACUCAAGUUGUUCGAGAGUGCUCAAUAGAAAAAUUCCAAAGUCUGAAGCUCAUUGUUCUUUGCGAUUUCAUUUGUUGAGCUCUAUUUGUACUCAAAAGAGAUAUUAGAUAAUUGUGUGACCUUGAGGAAGUGUAGUAGAGUCUCUACACUAUGGAAUCAAGGACGUGAGACUGUAAAUUCUCUUUUGAUUCUUAUUUAGAAUCCAGCCGAUGAACUAUCAGUGCGAGAGAGUGGACAUAGGCUUGGUCUAAGCCGAACCACUAUAAACCUAAUGUCUUGAUUCUCUAUCCCUAAACUCUUUACUUUACAUCGCAUCUCUUUACGACAGUUUAUUGUCUUCACGCUUUCAAUUUAUCAAUCUUAGAAACUAAGUUGUUUUGUUAAGAUUCGCAAAAACUUCUUUAAUCACCUAUUCACCCCACUCUAGGUGCUCGUACUAGCCCUAUCAUAGGGGAGUCAACCAGCUUGCAAGAGAAGACAAGGGGAAUAAAAUCCACACUUUUCCCAACCAUUUAAGUGUUUGUCCCCUCUAAAGCCCACAUCAUUAUCUUAAUGUCUCCCAAUUACUUUCCAUCAAGAAAUUUCCCACAAAUUGUCCAAAUGGAAGCCAAAAUUCAAGCUCCUAAUUUGGCAUCCGAAUUUCAUUACUUUGGGCUUCAAUUCCUCACCAAAAUUCCCAAUUUAAUGUCCCACUUCGUCGAAGAAAUUGCCCAUACCAUUUUCAGCAAGUUCUCGACACCCAAGAGCUCGAUAAAGAGGCCAAAAUUCCAAUCAACUUGGCCGAUCCAAUUUUCCACUAAUUUCCGCAACGUCCGAAUCCAUUUCCCGUUAAAAUCUCGGAAUCUCUAAAAAAAAAAAAAAAACUUUCUAAGACUGAGUCGACGUCCUAGAAUUUAUUGUGACAUAACAGAAUCUUCAAUUUCUGAAAUCGGACUUGAAUUCACAAUUAAUUUCACUUGGCGCGUUUUUAGCGUGACCUGGAUUACUGGGUAACUUUCAAAAAAUUUUAAUGCAAAUGACCCGUGGUCGAUUUUCUUCGAGCCACUAUGAACCCACUCGACUCAUUAGCGACUCUCAAUUAUCGUGACAAUCUCGAUGAUUCAAAUAUGGACACAGGGUACCAAAAUAAUAAGAAAAUCAGUUUAGUGCCGAUCGACAAGAAUUUUCUAAUUUAGUGGUGUCACCCACGAUUGGCCACACAACUCUGUCGAACCGACCUAUCUUUGAUCUCUAAUCGAUUUUAUACCAUGCCGCAAUGGCCUCUAAAGAUGGACACGGUCGAGAAGCCGAUUACUAGUCAAAUUCUUAAGUCUAUUUGCCUUAAAAUCCUUUUGGUUUCCCCAGAUAACCUAGUUAUCUCGAGAGUGAUCAACUCUGAGAAUAGCCCUAUAGGCGCGUUAAUGAAAUGCCCGAUUCAUUCAGUAGAAGACAGGGUUGAAAAAUCUGGAUGUCACAAUCGUGACCUGCUGCUGCCUAGCACUUUACCUGUCUCCGAUGACCGCUCGAACCAGACCGCAAGCACCCUCGCCCACGCUCUACCUAUCCCUAACGACCGUGCCUGCAGCCAGCGACGCCGCCACCCCCGCUCUCCACGCCGCCGUGCUCCACCAGAUCCCGUCAGAACUUCGACAACCGGUCAACUACCGCCCGACACCACCCACCGUUGUUUCCCCUAGUUAGUUUUUAUUUUUAUUUUUAUUUUUACUUUUACUUUUCAUUUUUUUAGUUUAAUAUUUUUUAUGUUAUUUUUCUACCUAUUUUAUCUUAUAGCAUUUUUUUAGUUUAGUUAUUUAAGUUGUACUAUUGAAUGUUAAUCUUCAUAAAUUUUGUAGGCAUUAUCCGCAGGGAUUUUUUCCGGAAUUAUUGUAAUUAUUCAUUUAAUCCGUAAGAUUUCGGAUCAGAUUUUUAAUAAUUUUAAACUCUUUGUUGUGAUAAUUAGGGUUAGGAUAAUCGUUAAUUUGACCUGUAAGACAACAGGUUAUUUUUUCGAUUAUUUUAAGCUUUUGUUUUAUUGAUAGUUUAGAUUUAAUAUUUAUUUAAUAAUUACUUAUCUAAAAAAGUUUAAAAAAUCAAAAAAUCAAAAUCAAAAUUCAGCAUGAGCACAUAGGCUUAGUAAAUUAAUUUUUUUUUAGGAUUACAUUUUUAGGAUUACAUUUUUAGAAAUAAGUUAGGGUUGGACCUAAAUAACUUUUUUAAAAUAAGGUUUUAGAUCAUGUUGGCACAUUUUAAAUCUCUUUUUUCCAAAAAAUUGUUUUCUAAGAUAGCAUAGGGUUUAAGUCAAAUUAAUCCAUAGAAUAAAUUAGAAAAUUAUCCCUUUUUAGAUAGUUUAAUUAGGGUUUUUAUUAAUUCCAAAUUUCAAUAAAAAAAUACAAAAAUACUAGGUGCAUAAUAGGAUCAUUUAAUCAGAAUUUGUUCAUUAGUGAAAUUAGGUCAUGAGGUGCAUAAUAACUAGUUUGCAUAAUACACCCAUUUAAUUAGAAUUUGAAUAUUAAUAAGAUUAAGUCAUUUAGUUAAAAAAAAUGCAUUUUUAUAAAAGAAUUCUAUUUUUUAAAGAAAACCCAAAAAAAAAAUUAAUUGCUUGCUUUGUGUGAUGCAAUUCUUUAUUUAUUUUUAUUUGAAUGUUUAAUAGUGGAUAAGCAUGUGUGUGGUCACCAUAUUUGCAUGAUAGCAAUUUAGACUAAAAUAAAUCCAAGCAGCCAGCAAAAACAUUUUUUAAAAUAAAAGAAUGGUACCGAAAGGGCAUUAGAAAAAUCUAGUGUAACCAAGUCCUCGUACCUAUAGUCUCUGGUUCGUAGGAGAAAAAUAAUUCACCAAUUAUUUUACUUAGGUGUCUAAUUGACCUACCAUAAACAGAUUAGUGGCGGCUCCUAGUUAAUAAUCUUUUGCAUGAUGAAUAUUUAAACAUUAAGUCGCGAAUUGGUAUGGGCUUGGGAGAACCUGAGCUAAGUUUACAGACUUAGUAAUCCAUUAACCUAACUUUACGUGGUGCACCCGAAAUUUAGGUCGCAACAUUAUAAAGGAUACUUAAAUGAACACUUUUCAUGCAAACACAUUGACCCAGAUCUUUCUAGAAUAAGAGCAGUAAAUCGCCCAAACUGUUACCAAAACUAUGUCCGUGUCCAGAAAUUACAUUUUCCAAAACCAGAUUGGUUCGAGGUCCAAAACUUGUCUAGUUUGAUCUGAAAUUUGACUAUGUUAAACUAUAAAAUGUAAUGAAAAACCUUGUGAAUGAACUCUUCCAAAAAUUGACUCCUAAGAGUUGAUAAAAGUCCUUUGAACACCAAAAGGUCAUAAGUUCCAACACUAACCUGAGAUUCUAUUUUGCAAAUGACGAGUCUGAAAUCUUAUUCUUUUAAAUCCCUAAAGUCUUGAGUAAAAUAUAUGUCAUAUAUGAAGAUGUCUAGAACAUUUUUCAAGAAUAAGGUAACCUCAAAAUCGUAGCACAUUUCCAUCCACGAAAAUAGCAAAUGGCGAGGGUCCAGUAAACUGAUUCGAAGAGAAAUCUUCUAAACAAAGCUAAACCACCCUCAUUAGUACUAAUCUAACAAAAUAUAUUACUACUAAUACAUCUUAAGCCUAAUCUAACCAAACUAGAUUAACACUAAUUGUGACAGCCUGAAUUUUAAGAUUUCGUUUUCGAUUAAAUAAAUCGGGCCUUUCGCCGACGCACCAAUAGUGUUAUUCUCUAAGCUUAUCACUCACGAGAUAACUGGUCUCUCUGAGGAAGCAAUUAACGAAUCUAAAUGCAAUAGACUUGAGAAUUCGACCAAUAAUCGACUGCUCAACUGUGUUAGUCUGCAAGGGUCAUUACGGCACUAUCAGAAAUCGAUCAGAGACCGGAGAUAGGUUGAUUUAACUAAGAUAUGUGAUCAGAGUGUGAGUGAUUCCACCUAAUUGUAAAAUAUUCUUUGAUCGGCAUUAGACCAAUUUUUCUGUCGUUUUGGUACCCGAUGCCCGUAAUUGAAACUUCGAGAUUUUCACGACAAAAUGUGGUUGGAUCAGUUAGAUCAAUAGGUCCAGAGGUAUGUGAAGGCCAAGAUCGCCCGACUUCUCCCACUAUUAGAGAUCAACAUCCACUCUAGUGUGAUACAGGCGCUCCCUCACUUCUAGUGUCCACAAACUUCUACCUUCAUAUUUGGUGAGUACGAGCUAACUCCAACAUUAGAAGAGUAUAGUAUUGCCAUUAGAAUGCCCCUAGAAAAGGAACUUGUUAGACCGCCUAUCGGUAUAGAUUCUAUUUCUGAAUUAUCUCGGUUUUUAGAAAUCGAACCUGAAAAAAUAAGAAAAGUUGUCAAAGCCAAUUGUUUUGCAUGUCCAUUUUCCUCUUUGGAAGAAUUUUUUGCAAAUCAAUCACUGUUUUCAAAAGCUAAGAUUUUCAUGUUGGCAUUUUUCGGAUUAAUCGUUUUUCCUUAUCAAAGAAAUGCCAUUAAUCCUUCAAUUUCAUGGGUGGUUAAUCGUGUUUGUGACGGGUUAAAUUAUGUCAAUAUGGUUUUAACUAAAACAUUUUUGUCAUUAAACCAUUUCAAACAAAAUGAAGGACUAUGCGUGCCCUCCCUGAACUUUUGCAAAUAUGGUUUUUCUCACACAUAAGAGGUUUUGGGAAUCUUAUGAAACAAUUCAAAAUUGAUGAUCUGAGGCACCCCAUACAAAAAUUUGCAAUUUUGGAACGUUUUUCUCCAAAUAAACAGUAUGCCUAUUGAAUUAAUUUUUUAAAAAAUCCUAAUCCUAAGGCAUUCUUACAGCAUACUAAAUGGCUACAUGUUGAGGAGGCUCGUCUCUCUCACAAGUAUGAUGGGCCGAUCCCGUUGCUUGGCCUUUCUUGUGCUACCUCCUACUACCCAUAUAGGGUGGCCCGUCAGUACAGAGUUCUUCAAGAAGUUCCUCCACCCCUCAAGACGGAAUUGUUCCAAGUUCGUUUUGUUCAUACGGACUAUGACUACUUCAACGAGAUCUAGAUGAUCAUUGCUGCACGGAAUGAAUGCCAUCUAGAGAAGAUUUUGGUGCCCAAGAGACUGAAAGGAGAGGAGGAGAUCCACCAUGCGUCGACAUUCUACAUCCAACAACACCGGAUUCCUGCCGCCUUACGUCCAGUGAUCCUUGAUGUGACUGAGAAGCCAACUCAAAGAGCACAAAUUGAGCAUCUUAAACAGAAAGUGAAAAUGAUUGAAGCUGAAAAUAAGAAGCUUCACAAAGCAUUGGAAUCUCGAAAGCAUAUAAAAUGAGAUGUUUUCAAUGUUUUUAAUUUUUAGUUCAAUGGUUUUAAUUUUUAGUUCAAUGUUUAGGGACUUGAAUUUCAAUUCUUAGUUCAUUAUUUGGUUCAAUGUUUCGAGUGAAUUUUGAAUAAAAUCAGGCAAUUAGACCAUUGUCAUGGGCCAUUUUCCUUUAUUGUCAUUGGUUCUUACAUUACUUCUUUUCCUAGGUGACAACGGAUCUACCGUGCUCACCUAUUAUUACGCAUUCAAGGGCUAAAAUGGCUUACCAAAACGAGAUGCGCGAUCGCAUGUCCUCCAUGGAAGAGCAACUCCAACAGCUAACUAUCUCUAUGCAACUUAUAACAACUCAACUCCAAUCCCUCCGGGUGAAUCCAAAUCCUGCACCUGCUCUCCCCGAAAUAGUAGCCUCGAAGCCGGCAAAUAGGGCCCAAAUGAGUGAUGACAAAAUGCCCGAGUUGGAAGAUGACCCGGUCUUUGUUGGAAAGGCCAAACCUAGUAGCGUUCCAAGACAGAUCAUGAUGAGCGUGUUGCAAAGCUGGAAGAGAAAGUGAGACGGCUGCAGGAGUCUCCAAGCUCACUCUCGUUUGACCUCUCGGUCUAUGAGAAGGUCAAAAUGCCGAGCAAGUUCAAAAUGCCGGAGUUCAAGAAGUACAAUGGUACAUCUUGCCCAAAAUCUCAUUUGCAGAUGUACCACUUACGCAUGGCCCAACACGUUAAAAAUGAGCCCCUCAAGAUCCAACCGUUUCAUGUGAGUUUGACCAAGCCCGCACUGAACCGGUACGUGAUGAAGAACGUGAACCUCCUCGAAACCUAGAACGAAGUGGCAGACGCGUUCCUCAAAUAGUACAAGUUCAACAUGGACAUCGCACCUUCCCGAGAAGACCUAGAGCGGAUGGAAAAGAAAAAGAGCGAGUCAUUUAAAAAGUAUGAUGUGAGAUGGAGAAACCCGGCGGCUCAAAUCACUCCUGAGCCUACCAACAAGAAGUUGAUGAAGUUGUUCAUGAAGACCCUUCCAUCUGAGUUCCGUAACCGAAUGGCUAGUACGUAUGUCGAGAGCUUCAAUCAACUUAUUACUGUAGGAGAACAGAUCGAGAUAGGGAUAAGGAAAGGAUGGUUUGCUGAGCCAUCUAAUAAAAGAUUCUCUAUCGAGAAAGAGAAAGAAGCGGCCGUGGAUGUGAAUAUGGCUUAUAGCCAAGAAAGUGCUAAACGUGCCCCGACUAUCCAAGUGAAUCCAAUACAACAACAACCCGCUGGCCGUCAAUCAUUCACCCAAACGAAUAAUAGAAGGCAUUUCUCCCCUCUCCCUGGGUCUCCAUCCCAAGUGUUGACAGUCCUCCAAAAGAAGGGUUUGCUUACUAGUGAACCGAACCGCCCUAACCGCGAAGGCAUUCGUGCUUAUGACCCGACGAAGAAGUGUGACUACCAUAAUGGUGAACUGGGGCAUUCAACUGAUUAAUGUUUCACCCUCUAGCACAAGAUCCAAAAUCUCUUGGAUGCGAAGGCCUUCUCAUUUCAAACUGCUCGGCCAAACGUCUAGAAAAAUCCGCUACCGAAGCAUGAGGGUACAGUGAAUGCUAUCCUAGAACCUGAAGUCGGUCGAAUCAAGAACUCGAAGAUGCACGUGGUAGAUGCCUACAAUGGACUAGUGAGAGCUGGAUAUUAUCCAGAUCAUGAAGAUGUCCCCCUACCAUUGAUGAGGGAAAGAGUUGCUAGAAUGGUGGAUGACAGCAUCAUCGUGUAUGCCGACCGUAAUUGCAUAGUUUUCACUAUUUCCCACCUCAUCAUUGAUUGGGAGGAGGAGCAAGCUGCACUUGAUGCUGAUAAAGAAGUGGUUGAUCAUUUGCUUGUGGACAUGCCCCCCAAUAAAGGAUGCAUCUGACGAGGAGAUAGUAAUAGAGGUGUCUUAGCCGUAUGAGUAUGUCAACAAUAAGCAAUACCUUAGUCCUAUGACCUAGAUGUUGACCUCGUUACGAGGUCUCGUCAGACCUAUGAUCAAGCCAGUGCUCAACCUACAAAGCCGGUCACUAAUGAAGAGGCUAAGCAGUUUCUAGCUGUAAUCAAAGCGAGCGAGUAUAACGUGGUUGACCAAUUGCGAAAGAUGCCCGCUCAAAUCUCCUCACUCGAGCUCUUGCUAACAUCCCCCGUGCAUCAGAAGUCGCUAAUGAAGGUGCUGAGUGAAAUUCGUGUGCCAGAGAUGGUUGAGGCGGACAAACUGGAAGGAUUUGUGGGAUUGGUCCUUCUCAAGGAUUUGAUUGCCUUUUCUGAUGAGGAAUUCCCUCUUGAGAGCCUGGCACAUAACAAAGCACUCUACAUAUCUGUCAAGCACAAGUCUUCUCAUGUGUCCCGAGUGCUCAUCGAUAAUGGGUCCGCUCUGAACAUAUGUCCGUUGGCCACUCUUCACCGCCUCAAGGUAGACCCGUCGAGGAUACAUGCUGCGAAGACCUCGGUACGAGCUUUUGAUGGAACAAAAAAGGAGGUGAUUGGAGAAAUCCAUCUCGACGUACAAAUAGGGCCGGUCGUCUUCAACAUUCCCUUCCAAGUGCUGGACAUCCCCACCGCAUUCAAUUUCCUUCUAAGUCGUCCCUGGAUAUACACUACUAAAGUAAUACCUUCAAGUCUACAUCAAGCUGUGAAAUUUGUGACUGAAACGAAGCUAGUCACUGUGUAUGUUGAGGAAGACCACCAGAUCUAUCAUGAGACGGUUAUCCCCUAUGUAGAGCCGGAGUUUGAGUUUGAAUCAAGUUAUCACUCAUUUGAGUUGGUGUCCACCAUACACGCUUCUCGAGGUUCAUCACCGCCCACUCCUGAAGUUUCAGAUGCUGCCCUCAUGGUGGGAAAAGUAAUGGUUGGAAAUGGCUUUGUUCCUGGCAAUGGUCUCGGAAGAAAUGGUCAGGGCACUCGAAGCCCCAUCAAAGCCCCUCAGAGGUCCUGUUCUGUUGGUUUAGGGUACCAUGGAAGGGGGGAAGUUUUGAAGGACGAACACAGGAAAUGCAAAACUCACCACUUGACCAAGGGCGAGGGAGGCAAAACCCAUUACCCCUGAGCAUUCACGAGACAUUCCUCGGUCCUCCAAGAAUGAUGCAGGAUGAAGCGGAAGUGAUAGAUACUCUGGGGCAACCUAGUGGCAAGUUUGAUUACCUGGUGAAGUAUUCGGCCCCUCCCAGUUACUACAUUGAUCCUCGUGAGAUAGUCCCAGAUGGAUGGGGUGGCAUGGAUGAUCCGACACCCCCGAAGAUGGAGAACCCUAAUGAUGAGCUAGAAUGAAAUGCAAGCUUAUUCGACGACCUCAUCAUAGCAGCCAUUGAUGAAGGACCCCCUGAAGAGAUGGGCAUUGGCCCACAAGAGUAACUCUUUUUCCUAUUUUUGCACAUUCCCCUGCGUGGGAAUUUUUAUUGUUUUCUAAGAGAUGUUUUCAGUUUCCUUGUCUUUUCAUUCUUGAGUGUUGCAUUUUUCCAUUUAAUAAAUGUAAUUGAUUGAUGAAUUUCAAUAAAAUUACAAGUUUUAUUGUAAGGGCAUGAUGAAGUACACCAAACCAGCCCGGUGAUGAUAUCUAGCCGAUAAAAGAAAAGAAAAAUCCAAGGAGAAUUCUGAGGCCUAGGCUUCAUCAAAAAAGUAUUUUUGCUAAAGAAUUUCAAAGAAGAAGAAAAAUAACAAAAACAAAAAAAAACAUGUAGAUUACUCUGUUUGUCUUUCUGAUUUAUCUACUUCAUGUUUCAGGAACAAUCUUAUUGUGACAUCCUGAAAUUCGACCAUGUUUUCGAUAAAGUGAAAUGGGCAUUUCGUCGACGUGCCUAUGGCCCUUUUUCUCUAAGCUAAUCACUCACGAGUUAACUAACCUAUUGGGUGAAGCCGUUAAGGGAUGUAUCUGCAGUAAAAUCCCUAAAAGCUACCUAAUUAGUUGGAUUGGGCUAAAAUCACGUCUGAUCGAUUUUUAACCACGAAAUUGAACUCGAUUUCGGGAAUCGAAUUUUAAGCACGUCAUAAUUCUUUUUUUUUAUAACAUUGUCUCAUCGCUCGUCAAUUUAUUGACGAGUCCGAAAUUUCAAGAAAGAAAUUAUCAGAAGAAAAAAAUUGAAGACCGAAAGGAAAUAGAAAGGGAAAGAGAAAAGAAAUAAAAUAAGAAUAAUUGUAUGAAUUGAUUUUUAUUUUUCUCUCUCCCUCUCUCUUCCUUUUUUUUUCUCUCUCUCUCUCCCUCCUCUUUUCUUUUUCUCUCUCUCUUUCUCUCCCCCUCCCCCUCGUGCGAUUUUUCCCCCCACCGACUCACUUUUCUCCCUCCUUAUCUCCUCUUAUCUCCUCUUCCUUAUCUCUUCCCUCUCUCUCCUCUCUCCUUUUCUCUCGACUCUUUCUCCCUCCUUCCCCUGUUUGCUCGACAUUGAACGGAACCAGAGCAGGAGCAGCAGCUCGCCGAAGCCGCCGCUCGCUACCCGUCCCAAACCCGCGACGCCCGCCCGCGCACGCCGUGCCCUCCACCCCGCGUCCGUCGCCACUGCCGCUCCUCCCCCGUGCGAAUCAAGCCCUGCUCCGCCCCUACCCAACCAGACCAGCCGCCUCCGGCCACCACCCAGCUCUACCCGGCCACCGUUCGGACCCGCCGGAGCUUCCCUUGCCCUCCGCCUGCCUCCCCUCGUCGCCCUAACCGCCGGACAAGCUCCGGCCAGCAUUGAUCAGCAACCCACGAGUGGGUUUCCAGCCCCUUUCGGGCUCGUUUUGGGCCGUUUCCGAGCCCCGAACCCGAGGCCCGCUUUGGAGUUUGUUGUUCCUCGCGUCGCCCCCGUCAGAUUGAUCCAAUUUGCGCGCGAUUUGGUGAGUAAUCUCACUAAUCCAUUAUUAGUUGGCUAAUUAUGCUUAAGUUUGGUUUAUUUUUAAUUAAUUAGGUUUGUGAUGCGAAUUAGACCAAUUGAUUGUGCAAUUAGCAAGUAGACAUGGUCUACUAUUUAUUGAGGGUAGCCCGGGAUUUUUCCAGACCCUAAUCGGGCUUCAAUUAGGCUUUUCGGGCCUAAGUGGCAUUUUUAGUAUUUAAAUAUUAAUUUUCGGAAUUAAAUUAAAUAAUUAUUUAUUUUCCGAAAAUUUGACUGGGAUGGCCCGGGACCGGAAUUUUAUGCUGAUGACUGUGGUGAAGUCCAUUUAUUUAAUUGGGCUUUAUUUUGUGCUAAAUUGAAUUUUUAAUAUUUAUUAAUUAAUUUUCGAAAUUAAUUAAUUAUUUAUUUAUUUAUUUUUCGGAAAUUAAGAUUUUGAUGGCCGACGACCGAAAUCUCGUGCUGAUCAUCGUGGGGCAGUCCGUUUAUUUAUUUGAGCUCCACGUUGCAUGGAAUUAAAUAAAUUGUGAUAUUUUAGGGAUUUACCCUAAAUUGAUUGGAAUUGAUUGAGAUUGAAUUGUUGAUUGGUAAAUGGCCAAGUAUGUUAUUCAGCAUUUAUAAUGCUUUGUUGAGUUGAUUUAAUUAUUUGAUUGAGAAAUCGUUGGGCAUUGGUUGUCGGUAUUGAAAGUAGAUUGGUAAUCACUUGAAAGAAUGCACGUGGGCUCGGUGAAUUGGAAUAUCACCUGGAGAAUGCACGUGAAUUCAGUGGUUGAGUAUGUCAUCUUGGCAAAGAGGUCGCCUUAGAGAAUGCAUGUGGCUUGGAGACUCGGUAUGUCCUCCUGGAGAAUGCACGUGGCUCGGUGACAGAGUUUGGCAUCUAAAAGGGCACGUGGCUCGGUGAAUUGAUGCAUCACUUUGGUGAGAUAGCACCUAAGAGAAGGCACGUGGGCCCGGGCAUCGUAAAAAGGACACGUGGCUCGGUGAUUUGAUGCGUCACUUUGGUAAGCGAGUACCUUAGAGAAUGCACGUGGGUCCAGUGUUUGAGAACGGCAUCUAAAAGGACACGUGGCUCAGUGAUCUUAUGCGUCACUUUGGUAAGCGAGUACCUUAGAGAAUGCACGUGGGUCCAGUGUUUGAGAACGGCAUCUAAAAGGACACGUGGCUUGGUGAUCUGAUGCGUCACUUUGGUGAACUAGUGCCUUAGAGAAUGCACGUGGGUCCAGUAUUCGGAAAUAGCAUCUAAAAGGGCACGUGGCUCGGUGACUGGAUGUACCACAUUGGCGAAGAGGUCGCCUUAGAGAACGCACGUGGGCCCAAGGUUCAAGGCACGUGGCUCGGAGACUUGGAAUGUCGUCCUAGAGAAUGCACGUAGCCUAGCUUUUAGAUACUCCUCCGUGGAGAAUGAUUUAUGUGACAUGUAAUCGACUAGUUCGAUUUGUUUUGAGUAAAUCGGUGCCUAUUGUGAAUUGUACUGACUUGCACGUGGGAUCUAAGGCCAAGGUAAGUCAUCUGCCCUGUGCGUGUUUAGGCAGCCUGUAGUAUAAUGGUUUACUAAUCGAGCCUUAGUGGGGUAGAACUCGCUAAGACGUAGUCUCAUCCUGGUUUGGGGAAAUCAUUUCAGGACCCCGCUGAGGAGCUGAGGAGGAGGAGGAGUCUGAGAAGGAUUUUUGGAAGAAGAAGAUAAUCCCGAGAGGGGCCUUGAGUACAGCCCAGAUGGACUGAGAUUCUAUCUUCUUUUGAGAUCUCCAUUUUGAUGUGAAUAGAGUUUAGAGUAAAAAGUUGUGAAGUGCUCUGGUUUGUGUUUUGUAUAAAAGUUUGGUUAUAAGUUUCAAUAUGAAAAAUAUGGCCCUGCUUUUCUAUCCCAUCGAUUUAUUGUCUGGGGAUUAUAACUGCUUCCGUGUGUGCUUAAUAAAUGAAAGGGUCGGCGAUACAUAGUCCUAGGAUAUCGCAUUAUAAAAUCGACCAAACGAGAAGGAUGUAUGCGUGCCCGAGGAUCGGGGCGUGACACUUAUAGCAUGCAAAUGUGUGAAAAUGGUCCAAUCCAAUACAACAAGUGCUGAUAAUAAUGAUCCUAAAGACUCGAUCGAAGACUCCAUUGAGGUGCAACGUAGCUGGGAACAACAUGAAAAAGCUAAGGCUUUCACAUCCGAGCAGACUGUCACUAUUAAUUUAAGUGACAUUGAAAAAACCAAAGAGGUAAAAAUUGGGGCAAGUCUCCCAAAAGAUGAGGCUGAGCGCCUAGUUCAGUUACUGAAGGAAUAUCAAGACAUCUUUGCAUGGACCUAAGCUAACAUGCCCGAGCUAGACCUGUCAAUUGUGGAGCAUUGCCUACCUACUAAUCCGAACGUGCCACCUAAGAAGCAAAAGCUGGGGAGAACUAAACCCGAACUCUCAAAUAAGAUAGAGGAAGAGGUGAUGAAGCUUUUAAAGGUGGGAUUCAUCGAAGUCUCACAAUACCCCGAAUGGGUGGCUAAUAUCAUGCCGAUGAUGAAAAAGGACGGUCGAGUUCGAGUUUGUGUUGACUAUUGGGAUCUGAACAAGGCUAGUCCAAAGGAUGAUUUCCCGAUACCACACAUAGAUGUCCUUGUGGAUAGUACCGCUGGUUUUGAACUAUUUUCAUUUAUGGACGGUUUUUCCGAGUACAAUUAGAUAAGGAUGAAGGAGGAAGACAAGGAGAAGACUGCAUUUGUAACCCCGUGGGGAACCUUUCAUUAUAAGGUCAUGCCCUUCGGACUCAAGAAUGCAAGGGUGACCUAUCAGUGAGCCAUGAUAGCAUUAUUUCAUGACAUGAUGCACCAGGAGAUAGAGGUCCAUGUUGAUGAUAUGAUUGCAAAGAACCAACCAGGAAAAAGCCAUGUGGAAACCCUGAAGAAGUUUUUUGAUCGACUUCAUGAAUUCAAGUUUCGGCUAAAUCCCGCUAAAUGCAUAUUUGGAGCAACAUCCGGUAAAUUACUCAAAUUUAUUUUGAGCAGUAAAGAGAUUGAGAUCGACCCAUCCAAGGCUAAGACCAUAUGCAAGUUGCAACCUCCGUCAAUGGUAAAAGAAGUCCGGAGCCUUUUAGGAAGACUGAAUUACAUAGCUCGAUUCAUUUCCUAACUCUCUGAAACUACCAAGCCAUUCUUCAAGCUCCUAAAGAAGAAUGCACGACUUAACUGGGAUGAUGAGUGUCGAGAAGCAUUCGACAAGCUAAAGCAAUACCUAAUGAAUCCACCAAUUCUUGUCCCCCCAUCACCGGGGCAUCCUUUGAUUCACUACCUCACCAUCCAUAGUGAAUCGUUAGGUGCAAUGUUGGCUCAAGAAAGUCUUUUUGAUAAAAAAAGAACGAGUCAUUUAUUAUCUGAGUAAGAAGUUCACUGUAUCAGAACUGAAGUAUCUUGAUGUUGAAAAGACUUGUGCGGCUUUGGUGUGGGUAUUGCAAAGAUUGCAGCAAUACACACUACAUUACCAGACAUUCCUCAUGAUUGAGAACGACCCCAUCAAGUACUUACUUGAUCGACCAGCUUUGGUGGGUAAGUUGGCCAAAUGGCAAAUUUUAAUCUCUGAAUUUGAUGUACAAUUCACGCCACAAAAGCCAGUUAAGGGUAGAGCGAUCUCUGAUCUAUUGGCUGAGAAUUCAAGAGUCUCAAAUGGUGAUGACAGUUUCUUGGAUGACCAUGUCUUGAGUGUAAAUGAAGACUCAUGGAAGAUGUUCUUUGAUGGAGCUCUAAACCUAUCUGGUUCGGAAACUAGGGCAAUUAUGAUAUCUCCAGAUGGACAACACCAUUCGAUAGCUGCAAAAUUGAUAUUUAUGUGCACUAACAAUGUGGCCGAGUAUGAAGCUUGCAUCCUCGGGCUUCAGGCUGCAAUUGAGAUAGGUGUGGCCAACUUAAAAGUGUUCGAAGAUUCCACACUAAUCAUAAUGCAAACCGUAGGUGAAUGGAAGACCAAGGAGGCCAAGUUGCUCCUAUACCACAAGUAUUUAAAAGAUUUGGUGAAAAAAUUUGAGGUUUCGUUUGAAUACUUGCCGAGGUCUCAUAAUCAAUUUGCAGAUACACUUGCGACAUAGUCUUCUAUGCUGCAAGUCACCGAUGGGUUAGAGGUCGAACCUUUGAAAAUAGAGGUUUUACCGAAGCCAGCUUAUUGUAUGAUUGUGACUGAAGAACCUAAUGGAAAACCAUGGUAUUAUGAUAUCAUGAAUUACAUUCAGAAACAAGAAUUUCCUGAAGGAAGCACUCAGGCUGAUAGGAAGUACAUCACGAAGAUGGCCUUGAAAUUUUUCAUCAGUGGGGAGAAUUUGUCCAAGAGAUCUUACGAUUCGGUCUUGUUGCGGUGUGUAGAUGCAGCCGAAGCCACUCAAAUCAUGCAAGAAGUGCACGAAGGAGUAUGUGGCCCUCAUAUGAAUGGACACAUGUUAGCCAAGAAGAUUAUGAGAUUAGGCUAUUACUGGCUCACACUAGAAAGUGACUGUAUCCAACAUGUUCGAAGUUGUCACCGUUGCCAGAUUCAUAGGAAUAAGAUAAAUGUUCCUCCAACUGAACUGCACCAGUUUUCCGAACCAUGGUCUUUCUCGAUGUGGGGCAUUGAUGUGAUUGGCCCAAUCAAUCCCAAGGCUUCAAAUGGGCAUCGAUUCAUCUUGGUGGCGAUAGACUAUUUCUCCAAAUGGAUCGAAGCUACAUCCUUUCCAAGUGUCAUUGCUCGCAAUGUUGCGAAGUUCGUCAAACGAGAUAUAAUUGCUCGUUAUGGCAUCCUUGAAGCAAUCAUCACUGAUAAUGGGACAAAUUUGAACAACAAACUUGUUGAUGGGUUGUUUAGCGAGUUCAAGAUCAAGCAUUUGAAUUCGUCUCCUUAUCGCCUUCAAAUGAACGGGGCUAUUGAAGCGGCCAAUAAGAACAUUAAAAAGAUCUUGGCUAAGACAGCCGAGAAUUAUCGAGAUUGGCAUGACAAGUUACCCUUCGCAUUGAUGGCAUACCAGACAUCAAUCAGCACUUCUACCGAGGCAACCCCUUUUGCUCUGGUGUACGGCAUGGAGGCAAUUCUACCUGUGGAAGUGGAGAUUCCUUCUCUGAAAGUUUUAUCCCAAGUGGAGUUGUCUAAGGUAGAAUGGUUGCAGCAAAGAUUCGAGCAGUUGAACUUGAUUGACGAGAAAAGACUGAAGGCUCUCUGCCACGGCCAAACUUAUCAACAGAGAGUAACCAGAUCUUGCAACCGACAGGUACGAUCAAGACAUUUCGAGGUAAAUGAUCUUGUUCUAAGGAAGCUACUACCAAUUUUUCCAGAUCAUGGGGGAAAGUUUGCUCCAAAUUACAGCGGCCCAUAUGUGGUGAAGAAAGUAUUCCCUGGUGGAGCCUUGAUCUUGGCAGAAAUGGAUGGUCGUGAGUUCUCCACUCCAGUUAAUUCAGAUGUUGUUAAGAAGUAUUACCCAUGAUAGAAUUUUCCAUGUCAUGUUUUGAACUGCAAGCAUUUCUAUGAUAAAUAAAUUGCUUCAAUGAGUUAAAUUGUUCAAAUUUGCUGCAAAUCUUGCAUUUUCCUUCCUUGAUGAAUUGUAUGAGAUGAAUCGAAUGUAUCAAAUGGGAUACUUUGGAAUGAUAGACAAGUCUUGUUCCAUGCACUAUUUCAUACACUAAUCCCCAGUGAGUUGUGUGAAAAAAUUCCGUGCUUGCAAGGGAAAGUUGAUCUCGCAAAUGGUACAACAAUCGACGUGAUGAGAGGCAUUCUUUUCUCUAUCCCAAACAUUACAGGUGAUCCAUUGUUUAAACCCUUUGAGCCCCAUACACUUAUGGAGAUUCUUUUUAAAUUAUCCCUGUCAAGAAUCAUCCCACAUUGGGACAAAUUUAAAAUGUAUGGUAGGAAUCUUGUUGCUCGCACUUGCAUCAAUCUUCAAGUAUUGCUUUCACAGUGUAACUUGUAUGGUAAUUUAAAGUGCCUUAGGAUGAUGAAGAGCAGUUCUUUCUUUAUCCUAUACACUUUCAUCCGUUGCAUAGCCCACUUGAGUCUAUGAAUUCGUUCCAUGUUAAACCCAGUUGGUGAUCAUCCCCCACACUAGGGCAGGGCAAAGGAACCAUUCAAGUAACAUGGCUUAGAAUGCUGAAAGAGAAUGGAGACUCUAUCCAAAAAAAUAAUAAUAAUAAGUGCAAAAAAUGGGGCAUGAAAAAGCAGUGUGCUUGGUAAAAGUAAGGCCAAUGCCCAAAAAGAAGAAAAAUCAAACUCUUGAUAUAGUGAGUCGUAUCCCCAACAAGGCAGUACUAAAAAUCGAAUGCUAUUGCAAUCAAUGGAGUUAUGAUAUAAAAUAUUCGGCAAUGGAGAAGGAGAGUGGUGGAAAUGUCAAGAUGAUCACCAAUUUUGACCCCCUAAACACUUUUUGAGCCUAAUGAUCCUUUCAUUUCUUAACCAAUGAACCAAGCCUACGUUACGUCCCUUGUAAAGUCUCUCCUGAUUAUGGCACUUAAAUUAACUUAAGGGUUCACAUAUUUUAAGCAUCGCUUGAAGAAGUGCGAGCAAGAUUAUUUCUUUCUCAUUUUGCAGGGUUCUUGACUUGUAAACCUAGAAAUGAUUAUAGAAUAUCACUCAUUCUUUCAAUAGCCUCGACUCAAAGAGUCCCUUUUGUUAAGCCGUUGACCAGGCCCAUAUUACGGUCCCUAUAAAAGACCUCUAAGAUUGGUAAGGUCGUACCACUUGCGAGAUUGCAUAUACCCUUGUUUGGCAUGAUGACAGUGAGAUAGAGGGAUUGCCAAAUCAUGCAUCAAAGGUCAGGAUGAAAUGACCCUUUUUAAUGAGGAUGAGUGUAAAGUUCUCUCAGACCGAAGGAUCCCUCAUUUGACACAUCCAUGACACUCAUGUGUUCAAAUUGGAAUAUUCUUUUGAGAUAUUUCCCGAUAGAAAUUAGGUGAUGCAAGAUUGAUAGAAAUCAUCACGCAUGAACCUCAUUUGAAUUAAUGCAUGUAUGUGAAUGCAUAUUACCUUUCCUACAACUGUGUUUUGUAGGAAACAUAUCCCCAAGGAAUAGAGAUGUCACCAGGUAAGUAUAUCUCUAUCCAUACCUUAAAUACUUGUCAUUGUACAGGUAUUCCUUUUCAAGCACCGACGCUCGAUGGAGUCGCCCCCCAAAGAUUUUUCCCAAAUUCACCUAUUCAGGUGACCGUAGAAUGAUACAAGUCCUGGAAAAUGAAUCCUAGUUUAGGCGACCAUAAAAUGGUACGGGUCCUAGACAACACCUAUUCAGACUACCAUAAAAUGGUACAGAUCCUGGAAAAUGAAUCCCAGUUUAGGCGACCGUAGAAUGAUACGGGUCCUAGACAACACCUAUUCAAGUGACUGUAGAAUGGUACGGGUCCUAAAUAACACCUAUUCAGGUGACCGUAGAAUGGUAUGGGUCAUGGAAAAUGAAUUUCAAUUUAGGCGACCGUAGAAUGGUACGGGUCUUAGACAGCACCUAUUCAGGCGACCGUAGAAUGGUACGGAUCUUAGACAACACCUAUUCAGGCGACCGUAGAAUGGUACGGAUCUUAGACAACACCUAUUCAGGCGACCGUAGAAUGGUACGGGUCCUGGAAAAUGAAUCACUAUUUGGGCGAUCGUAGAAUGAUACGGGUCCUGGGAAAGCAGUCUCUUUGUAAAAUCAAGUUACUAUUCUAGGCAACCUUAAAAUGGUACGAGUCCUGAACAUGUAACACCAAUUAUCUCGAAUUGCUCUACCCUCCUUGAAGGUAAGAUAUUCCAAGUAAGUUCAUUUAUCAUUUGCAUUAGUAUUUUCAUGCAUCACAUAGAAUUCAUUUUCCCAAAAAAAAAAAAAAUGAAUUCAUUUUCCAACAAAAAGUAAUUCAGUGCAUGUGCAUGAUCAAAAUUUAGGUCUCAACUCGUCUUUGAAGGCAACCUCUACGAGCUCACCUUCAAAGAGGGGCAGCUGUUGACACAUAAUUUUAGCAAAUCUAGGGAAAUAAGCAAAAUAAAAAUUUCUUAUGAAUAAAUAAAAGGAAAAAAAUGAGGGAAAUUGAUUUGAUCGAUUAUGCAUGGAAAUUUGGAAUUCCGAUGGAUACUGGGAUUUUGUCAAAUGCAAAAGAAAUUUGAAAAUCAAGUGAAUAAAUGGCAAGAAUUUUUUAAAAAAUGGAAGAAAUCUGAGCAAGAUCAAGCUAAUUAAGAAAUCAUGCUUUGGUUUAUAGCUUCGAUUUAAUGUGACUGGAGAUAGAAACUCAGAAAAUGCCAUACAAAACAGCCAUUUGGAAUCAUUAUAAAAGAGAAGUUCAUUUUUCGAAAUUAAGGAGGUUUUUUCCAAAAAAAAAUUGAGAGCAAAAAAUUUAGAGAGAAAAAAAGAGAUUUGUGUGAGAAAAUUCGAAAAAAAAAUGGUGGAAAAGUCAAAAAGGUUUGAAGUGACUAGUCUGUGAAAAGUCAUGUGCGGGCGAAAAAAAAAAAGUUAGUUCGUCUUCCUCGCCCGGCAGCCCACACGUUCAGCAACCAGCGCCUGUCCCACCAGCGACCUGAGCCUGUCCCACCGAUGACCUGCCCGUUCACUUCCCCGCUCAAGCCGCGAAGCUGCCCCCCUGCCAAUGCCGUCCCGAUCUCACCGCAUCUCCGCCACCGCCAACCUCACCGCUACGUCCUCAACACCUCCACCCGAGAUCCACUCGAUCACCGAGCCCCACACCGCAGCCGACACCACCAUCCAGCGUCACUACAAACCAGCUCAGCGACCCAUGAUUCGCUCACUACUCAAGGUCCCAUAGCUGACCCCCACACCGUAGCCAACGUCGCCGCCCAAUGACCCGCAACCCAGCUCCACCGCUGCCUCUCGCCCGAGUGACCCAUCUGCAGAUCCCGAAGAACCAGCGUUGCCCGCGCCGGCACCUCCCUGACUCGCCACCAUCCUCUUUCCGGCGACCCAAUGCCCAACGCUUGCCGAUUUGCUUCAGCCCGAUGAUCUACCGUCGCGACGCCUCUGUCCGACAUCUGUUGGUCCCUACCACGACCAGUAGCCCUCACUGCACCACCCGACACGAUGCCGGAGCUCGAUGCCACCAUGCCGCAACCCGCGCCUGACACCGUCACUACCCCUUCCACACCUGCACGCAAUGCUAGCAGCCAUGGUGCCGCCCAACCCGCCAGAACUUCCAUGACUGGUCAACGACCAUCCGACGCCGUCCUCCGUCAUUUUCCCCCUUAGGUAGUUUAAUUUUUUUAUCUCGUUUUUUUGUUCUUUUUUAGUUUAUUUAUUGAAGUUGUAAUAUUUGAUGUCAAUAAAUAUUGUAGGCAUCAUCUGCAGGGAUUUUGCCCGAAAUUAUUGUAAUUACUAAUUUGAUCCGAGAGACAUCGGAUCAUUUUUUUAAUUAUAUUAAUUUUUGGGCUUUUUGGUAGAAUUUCAAUCGUUAAAUCAUUAUAAUUAUUAAUUUGGUCCAUAAGACUUCCGAUCAGAUUUUUAAUUAUUUUGAACUCUUUGUCGUAAUAAUUAGGGUUAGGAUAAUCGUUAAUUUGACCUGUGAGACAACAGGUUAUUUUUUAGAUUAUUUUAAUCAUUUAUUUUGUUGAUACUUUAGAUUUAAUAUUUAUUUAAUAAUUACUUAUCUUUUUAAAAAACUAAAAAUCAAAAAAAUCAAAAUUCUACAUGAGCAUAUAGGUUUAGUAAAUCAGACAUGUAGGUUUAGUAAAUUAGAAAUUGUUUAGGAUUGCAUUUUUAGAAAUAAGUUAGGGUUAGACCUAAAUAUUUUUUAUUUAAAAUAGGGUUUUAGAUAAUGUUCGCACAUUUUAAAUCUCAUUUUUCCAAAAAAAUAGUUUUUCUAAGAUAGGAUAGGGUUUAAGUCAAAUUAAUCCCUAUAAUAAAUUAGAAAAUUAUCCCUUCUUAGAUAGUUUAAUUAGGGUUUUUAUUAAUUCCGAAUUUCAAUAAAAAAAAUACAAAAAUACUAGGUGCAUAUUAACUAGUUUGCAUAAUAGGCCCAUUUAAUUAAAAUUUGCAUAUUAAUAAGAUUAAGUCAUUUAGUUAAAAAAAUGCAUUUUUAUAAAAAAAAUUCUAUUUUUUUUAAAAACCCAAAACAAAAAAAAAAUAUUUUGCUUUGUGUGAUUUGUUUUGUGUGAUGCAAUUUAUUUAUUGAAUGUUUAAUAAUGGUUGAGUACCGAUGUGGUCACCAUAUUUGCAUGGUAGUAAUUUCGGUUAAAAUAAAUCCAAGUUGCUUGCAAAAAAAAAAAAUUAAUAUAAAAAAUGGUACCGAAAAUGCAUUAGAAAAUUCUAUUGUAACCAAGUCCCCAUACCCUUAGUCUCUGGCUCAUAGAAGUAAAAUAAAUCUCCCUUUAUUUUACUUAGAUGUCUAAUCGACCUACCGUGAACCAAUUAGUGGCAACUCCUAAUUAAUAAUCUUUUGCAUGUUUAAAAAUUUAGACUUAAGUCGCGAUUUGGUAUGAACUUGGGAGAGCCUGAGUUAAGUUUAAAAACUUGACAGUCCAUUAACCAAGUUUAGGUGGUGCACCGAAAAUUUAGGUCGCGACAGGACCUGGAGCUGAGGGGAGGUGAUUGGAAGUGUAGGUCAGUUAAGACCGCUACUUUUUGGAAAGCCAGACCUUAUAGUCUUUUGGUCGUAGACCUUGUACAUGACUCUAUGUGAAUAUAAAAGCAUGUUUGUGUUGAAUCUGUUGUCCUGCUUUUCUAUCCCGAGAUUAUUACUAUUAGGGGAUUUAUUUUCGCUUCUGCAUGUGCAAUAAAACAAAAAGGGUCGGCGACUCAUCCUGGGAAAUCGCAAAAUAGUAUCGACCAGAGAGGGAUGGGCACACGCUUGGGGUUCGGGGGCAUAACACUAAUCCAUAUUAAGGCUAAUUAACACUAAUCUAACCCCAUAAGUGCAAUUAACAACGUAAUCAAGGAUUAAGGAGUUAACUCACCGAAAUUCAAUGGCGGCGGAUUCACGGCGAUGGCGGCGCAACGGUGAUGAGAUCCCAUAACUACUAGGUCUCCAAUGGAGGCCAACUGGCGGAAGAAAAUAGCCUGCAAGGCUCACGACCAAGGUUGUUCUUGGUUCUGAGCUUAGCUAGUCAGGCUCGGCUGAGGCAAAGUUGGGAGCGAGGCGAGACGAGAUGGAUGGACGGCAGUGGCUGGCGGACGUACGAGCUGGCAGCUGGAGCGGUGGCCACCCGGCUAGAUGCGGGAUCGGACGUGCAGAAGAGCUUGGCGAUUCUGGCGGUGAUUGGAACGACGGUUAUGGUGGUGCGAAAGUUGAGAGGUAGUGGCAGUUAGCUUCGGUAAUCAGUGUGAUGGGGCUGGUGAGGCAGUGCUAGCUAGGCGCGGGGCUAAUUGGCCUUGAGCUGGUGGCUUACGACUUCAAGGGAAUGAGAGGAGUAGCUGAAGGAAGAAGAUGAAAAUGGAGCAGAUGUUCAGCUGAGCAGCGAUUCACGCACAUGAGAGGAAGGAGAGAAAGAAAGAGGGAAAAGGGGGGGGGGAAGAAUGUCAACUUGGUAGCCAACGGGGGUUCAAGGGAAAUAUCCAUGCACUUGAGUAAUGAUUGUAUAUAUGACCUUAGCUCAUUAGCUUNNNNNNNNNNNNNNNNNNNNNNNNNNNNNNNNNNNNNNNNNNNNNNNNNNNNNNNNNNNNNNNNNNNNNNNNNNNNNNNNNNNNNNNNNNNNNNNNNNNNAAUAUUUUAGCUGGUAGUUUAAUUUUUAUUUUGCAAACGACGUCGUUUUGGGUGAGUUUCAAUCAAGUCAGCUCUUCGGCGAGCCACGUAGGCAAGAAAAAAUAAUAAAAUAUUGCCACGUAAGAUUUCCGGUAAGGUUCGCCGAAGGUGGCACUUAAGUGUCUCACUUUUCAAAAAAAGUGGCACUUAAGUGUACCUUUUCAAAAUUUUGGCACUUAAGUGUCCCUCUAUGCCAAGUUUUGGCACUCUAGGUGUCCCAAACUCGUAUUUGCCCCUAAGUCUUCAGCCACAUUAAUCAAUUGGCCCUCCAAUGGCUAAUUUCCCUUCAAAUCUUCACAAACAACUUCAUUUUGGUGGCCAAAAAUCACACCAAACCAGCCCAUACAAAUUUCUUCCAUUUAAUUUUGCCGAAUUUGAUUUUUCCGCAAAAUUCCGGGCUCGAUGAAAAUUCUUGGAAAGAUGAGACGACGUCCUAAAAAUAAAUCGUGACACGCUCGAACGUCCGAAUCUCAAAAUUGAAUUCAAUUUCGUGGUUAAAAUCGACCGGAUGCAAUUUUAGUACAACCUAACCUACCGGAUAGCUUUUAGGGAUUUUAGCGCGUUUUAUGCGUGGUCAAUAAUUUUUUAUCCACGUUUGUGCAUCUCUGACUCGUAAACGACUCUCGGUUGUCAUAAUAUCGCGAGGUUUCAAUUACGUGUCCCAAGAGAACUAUCGAUAGAAAACCAAGUUAUAACCAUUCGACACAAAUAUCGCAAUCGUGCGGAACCACCCGCAAUUCAACUUCACAAUUCCAUCUAAUCGACUUAUAUCCGUUCGUCAAUCGAUUAUAACGGUGUUGUAUUGACCCUUGCCGAUUAUUAUGGUCAAGCAAUCGAUUUUCAAUCGAAUUCUCUCGUCUGUCGCGUUUAUAUCCCUUGACGGUUUCACCUAAUAGAUUAGUCAACUCAUGAGUGGCCAAUUCAUAGUAAAAUGACCAUAGGCACGUCGACGAAAUGCCAAUUUCAUAUAUUCAAGAUGGGGUCAAAAUUCAGGAUGUCACAAUACCAAUCUUACAUGUUGCUUUAGUAGUGUUAAUAAUUGUUAAUUUCUCAAACUAUACUACUCAAACCAGCAACACAGACAUACCGAAACCUAACGUGCUUUUUUGUCUUUCCUAAAUAUCCAUAUCAAUCUAAAAGUAACAAGUCAAAACAUGCAGCCACAGCCCAGAGCACAGCAUGAACUCUUAUUUCCAUAUGAUGUUUCUCAUUAGAGCAUGGAUCUUGCACACACAACAUGGAACCGUGGAAGGAGGAUCUGACCUCUUGGUUGGCAUUAAUAUUAAGUGCUUUCACUAGCAUGAUGACCAUCCUCUGCCAUUUUCCCCAUAACCAUCUCUUGGGUGGUUUGUUGACCCCCACUACUAGAGUUGUAUGGUUGAAGGUCAUAGUCGCUAUUGGGGCCACUGAACUCACUUGUGGCUUGUUCUUGACUUUCUAGGGCCAUCAUCUGAAUAUCGUUGAAUCCUCCUGGUCUUGGUUUGUGUCAUACUCUGAGCUCUCACAACGAUUAUAUACUCUGCUAUGUCCCGGCAUAAUUCCUUCUUUUAAAUCGCUCAAAGAAAGGUUUCCUUGCAAUGCUCGAACUAUCUGAUUACACGAAACUCAUAUAUUAUCCUCAUUUGUAGAGCAAUUUGCAUCACUCAGUCAUGCCAGAAAGUGAGUUGUAGCAAAAUUAAGACACUGAAAAUAGUGUUUCUUUUUCUUUUUCUUGCUCAAAUGAAGUGACACCCUCACAACUUUUCAUUUGUAGGUGGAACAAAAUCACUAACGUGUUUUCUUUUUCUUUUUCUUUCUUAAAAUGAAGUGACAACCUGCAACUUGUGAUUUGUUGGUGGAACAGAAUCACUAAAUAGAGCAUAUAAUUACAUCUAUAAUGCAUGUAGUUCCCCCCAGGGUGUGGGUGGGUGGAAGGUUUCUCAACUAGACGAUGUACCUAUGUCAUUGGUGGAUGGUGUCGUGCAGAAUGACGAACACAAGUAGUAGCACAAGCAAUCAUCUGAGUCAAUUCCUCGGUAUCAUAGUCCUUGUUCAAUUUUGGAUCAACAAUGGCAUCAAAUUUGUCACCUUCUAAUGCUUCCGUGAGCAAAGGCCUUGCCUAAAAUUUCAUUAUAGGAUUCAAUUUAUAUGACGGCAUUCAUGGUGGAAAGAGGGAAAGGAUAAAUAACAUGAAGUGGAGGGGGUAUGGAUGCUCAAAGUCUUGAAAUCGGUUCUUUAACCUAUUAGAUAAGAUCACUAACAACGAUAGGCCGCAAGUAAAUAUGUUGUAAAUAGACUACUAACCCAAUCAACCAAGCUAUCCUCAUCAAAGGUUCAAGUUCUGUUCACUGGACGGUGCCUAGUUAUCAACUCUAGAAGCACUACACCAAAAGAAAAGAUAUCUGAUUUAUCGGUGAGAUACCAACUUGAGGCAUACUCUGGAGACAGGUAGCUGCACUAGGUAGACUAAAUCAGCAAAAGAUAAUACAACCAAUAUAUGCUCAGAGAGGAAAUAAAUAAAUUCAAUAAUCAUUGCUAUUGAGAAUAUAUCUUGAGUUUUAACCUGUAAAGGAAUCCUAAUCCAAAUGGAUUUCUUAGUUUGAGUAAAUUUCCUAGUUUGAGUGAGUUUUCUAAUAUUAGUCAGUUGAAGGGGAUUUGCUACUUUGGGUGUGUAUGUGUACACAAAAGAGGUGAGUUUUGGUUUUAGCAUACUAGAGUGAGUAGAGAAGCUUUUGGCCACAACAAUCGACUAUGUUGAAUGCUCAUGAAUAAAUUGUAAGUAUUGUGAAACCAAUAAAUCUUGUUCGCCUAAUUUGUAUAUUCUUUUAUGAGAUUGAGAGAUUGUUUUGUGAAAAAUUAUGCCGGCUAACACUAUAGAGCCAUUGGAUGUAAUUGAGGGGUGGGAAACAUUGAGAAUAUUUGAGUGCCUUGAAUGUGGUUGUAAUCUCUAUUAUAUUGCUUCAACUAUAGUCAAAUGUUGUGCUACUCUUCCCUUGAAAUUGGUCCCAUCGACCAAAAUACAUAAAUCCGGUAUUUGAUUUUUCCAUUAUUGUAUUUAUUAUUGUGUUUGAUUGCUUGUUUUUUUGUAACAAGUAGUAUCAAAGCUAGGUUUGAAUGAGUUGAAGUAAAUAGAUGGCAACUGAAGUAGGAAAAGUACAAAUCAAUAGAUUUGAUGGGAUUGAUUUUGGUUUCUAGAAAAUGCAAUUGAGGAUUACUUGUAUCGAAUGAGUGUGCUCAUCUUCUUUUUAUGAGGAGGUGAAGCAAACUAAUUAGGAUUUGCUAGACAGACAAGUGUUAGCUAUUAUUCAGCUAACAUGGACGCAUAAUAUUGCAUUUAAUAUCGUGAAAGAGAAAACCAUGGAAAAAUUUAUUAAUGCCCUAUCAAACAUUUAUGGAAGCCCUUUGCGAUCAACAAUGUCCACUUGAUGUGAUAUCCGUUGCACUUAAAAAUAGGCAAACGUGCGUCAAUUGUCAAGCAUGUGGUUGCUAGGCAAUUGAAUUUGGUUGAAAUUGACUCUAACGAUAGGGUACAUGCUUAAAUUCUAUUAUCCUCAUUGCUUGAUAGUUAAAGUACUAUUGUUAUUGUCAUUAGUAAUUCAUCUAGGUCAAGAAACUUAAUGUUUGAUGAGAUUCACAAUUCGAUUCUAAAUGAAGACAUCCAUAAAAGAGAAUCGAUUAAACUUCUCUGUCUGCUACUAUAGUAAGUCAAGGUAGAUGAAGAACUAUUAUUCGUGUUGGCAGAAAUAACGUGAACCUAAAUAGACAAAGUCAGUCUAGAAUUGUGGUGUUGACUAUUGGAAUUGUGGCAAGAGAGGGCAUCUUAAAAUGGAUUGCCUUAAGCCAAAGUGUUGGAGAAAACAUCUUCAAGUAAUUGUGAUAAUGCCCAAAUUAUCCUUAGUAUAUCGGUUACUAUAUUGUUUGCAAAUGUUUGGACCAAAGGACUACGCAUCCAUGAUGUCAUUUAUUGUAAAGAAGUUUGUAAAUAUCUUGUUAUUACAAAUAGCACCAAUCAAUCAAAAAGAUCAGGCACUGAUGAUAUUUAUGUCAAAAUAGUAAAGAUUAGGUUGAUGGUAAUGUGACAACAAAGUACAUCAGUUGAUGUUCGUUGAGUUAGCUAAAGAGCCAUUGAAAGAUCAAGAUUGGCAAAGCAGCAAAAUCAAAAUAAAGCAUGGAGCAGAAUAGCUAGAUUGUCUGAUGGGUUAGUCAAAGACGGCAAUCAAUAAACAGUAACAGUUACUAUUUUUGGUUGGUCUGUAGAAGUCGAAGGAAAGAAACUACCUUUUCGAACAACAGUUCAAUGGAAAACUCUCCAAUGGCCACCUACCUUUCUAAACUAACCUCAACGAAUAGAUUGAGGAAGGGAAUUAAAGGAGAAGGCCUUCAGGAACCAAAAGAGGGUGCAACACCUAAAAAAUCAAGUAGCUUAUGUACAUUUGUUCUCAGCAGAAAGCUUCAUGUUUUAUUGAUUUGUUUAUCGUGCUAUUUAAUAAUUGUGCUACAGAUUAAGUGUACAAGUGUAAGAGUAGCAACUAAGUCCAGAUAGUAUGAUUUACCAAGUGAAGGAUCAGUGCUAGUCGGUUGUAACUUUCCAAGUAGAUUGUCAGUAGAAUCCGAUCCAUCUUGAAGCUAUCAGUCUGAAGAAUGGACGUAAGUUUGAGGAUAAAGCUGAACCACUACAACUUUAUGCGUCCCAUUGUUUUUCGUCUUCUUAUAUACUUUGGCAUACAGUUAGUGAGUGUUUCCUUAUCAAGUCAAGGUGAUCUUUACUUAGUAAUUAACUAAUUUACGUAAAAGAUCAUCAAAGUUUGAAAACAACAUAUUCAUCCCCUCUCUAGGUUGUAUUGUUAGCCUCAACACGAAAAAAAAAUGGUAAAGGAAUUAGAGUCGAGCCUACUAAUGAUAUUGUUGCAAUAGCUUAUAUUAUUUGAAUAGUGCAAAUUAUGUCAUGAUUGUCACUAAGGAUUUGCCAUUCGAUGGGUAUGUUAUGGAUUCUAGUUGCUCAUUUAAUGUGACAUCAAACAUGAACUGAUUUGCUACUUAUCAGUGUGCGGAUGUUAAGGAAUAACGCUAAGUGUGAUGUUGUUAGUGUUGGCAUUGCUAAAAUCAGAAUUUACAUGAGUGAGACACAUCCAAAAUUGAAGCAAAACCUAAUUUUCUUGCACCUCCUAAAUUUAGCUAGGUGUCAAUGUACUUCGAAAAGUGUAGUUUUUGAAGGUUGUUCAAGGUACUCUGGUAAUAAUAAAAGGAAUAAAGCACUAUGGCUUGUAUGAGAUCAAGGGGAGAUGGUAACGCAUUGGAUGCAUUUGUUCGAGAUUAUGAAUAGUGCCAUAUGCAUUGAAGGAACACUGUAGAGAGAAGCUUAAAGGUUAUGAAUAAAAGAAAUUUGAUUUGUGGUUAUGUAGCUGAGAGACUAAAUGUAUGGAGGUGUUAUGGCUUAGGCAAAUAGCAGAAACCAUAGUUCUAUAUAACUGUAAAGAAACCAUAGAGAUUGCAAAAUUAAUUCAUAUAAAUAUGUGCAAGGCGUUGUAGUUUGGGAAGAGUACUAAUUUAUAUUGACAAUUGUGGAUGACUAAUCGAGGAAGAUCUGAAUGUUUGUGCUGAGAUAAAAGUUGGAUAUUAUUGUUAAGAGCCUUAAGCAAAACGGAAACUAGUAAGAUGAUUAAAUACAUGCGAACUAAUAGUGGCAUGGAGUUUUGCUCGUGAUAGUUAAAUGAAUUAUGCAUGAAAGAAGGUACAAUGAGACAUUGUAUUAGUGUGAGUGAACAAAAAACAGGUUGCAGAGUUAAUGAAGAGAAAUUCCUAGCGGGUGCACUUAAUUUGGCAAACUAUUUGGUAAAUCGAUUCCAUUGACUACUAUUUCAUACCAAACUCCCAAAAAAGUGUGGUUAGGUAAAUAUUGACAAUGAAAUUAUAUUCGACGAGUAUCUAAUAAUACUAGGUAGGAGAAAUUGUGGCAAUAUUUAUACGAAUUUGGAUGAUGUUUUAGCUCAAUGUAAAUUUGCAACCAAAAACUCCUGAGGUAGCGAGUACUUGUGCGAACGAGCCGAAGCUUAUAGAGGCUACAGUUGUUGUAGUUGCUAAGUUUGACAGGUUGCGUGUUUGAUCUCCUAAGAUUUAUAUAAAUACAACUGUGGCUUUGUUUUAUUUGUAGUUGAGGAGGUUAUAUCAAAAUGUUCUUGUGGAGUAAUUAAAGUUGUAGAUAGAGUUGGUGUCCUGAUUAGUUCACCAAAUGAAGCUUAAGCGUGGCUUAGGCUCGACUGAUGCCUGUGAUAGGUGAGCCCAUGAUUGGUUGUAGGAUAGUAACAAUGGUCAAUUUCCAUCAAAGUGGAUCUGAUUUUGCUCAAGUCUCGAGCAAAGAUGGAUAAUGUUGAGAAUGAGUCACAAAUUUGAGCCUAUAUAUAAAAUUUGUUCCGAGUAGUAGUAGGUUUCCUAGUUUGAGUGAUUUUCUAGCUUGGGUAGGUUUCCUAGUUUGAGUUGGUUAAAAGGGGUUUUUCUAGUUUGGAUUCAAAUAUAUAUAUAUAUAUAUAUAUAUAUAUGGUAGAUUUUGGCUUUAGCACACCGUAAUAAUCAAUUGCACAGCGUGCUUGUGAAUUGUUUUUUUUUUUUUGGUCGAAAAUAGCAUACCAUACUUUCAUUAAACACAUCGAGCUUUACAAGAUAAGUAGGAGUCAUAACAUAAAAUAGACAUCAAAGGGGCAGGUGGUUCACGCUGCCAAUUGGAAGGGAGGGUUUUUGUGCGGAAUGCCUUUGCUACCUAAUCGACUGCUUGAUUUGCUUCUCUCGAACAAAAGGAUACUGUUGCUGAAGGUAACUGGGCCAGGAUGUUUUUGCACUCCUGUACCUGAAGUUGGACGGCCCAAGACGCUUCCUCGCAGCCCAAGAUGAAGUCAACUAGCUUUCGACUAUCACUUUCGCAGGUAAGUCUUCAGUUCAGUUCUUGAGUUUGCCGCACGUGCAUCGUCUUCCACUCUCUAGCAUCUUCAACCCAUGAAACAAGCCUAGGGUUUCCGCCUACAAAGGGGAGGCCAUGUGAACCUCUUUGGUGAACCCAUCGAUCACGCUUUCGUUGGAGUCGCGAAGAAGACCAGCAAUCGAGCUGGCCGAAUCGGUGGCUGUCCACAAGCUGUCGACAUUCAAUUUCAAAUCUGGCGUUUGCGGUGCUUUCUAGGUUACGGGUGAGUGUUCGUUGUCCUUCAAUCUUGAGGAGUUCCUCGGUAUCCAUCUCUGAGAGGCGCUGUUUUGUGCUAGGGCUAUGUCGAUUAGUGCUUGAGGUUGGCCGUAGGUCUUCCGGAAGAUGAAGUUGUUUUGAUUUUUCCAGAUUUGCCAGAGGACCUCGACGACCAAUUCUGGAUCUGAGGCUUGCGUCUUGGCUAGGAGGUAUUCCGCCAUCCAUUUGUCCAUUCUAGUAGCCGAGGUUGUGAUGUGGCUUAUGUUUAGCCGGGGGUCUGACCAGAUUUUCUGGACUUGUUUGCAGUGAAGGAAUAUGUGCUUGACGGUCUCAGGGUAUUUGGAACAGAGGGGACAUAACGAGUCAGGUAAAAUUUUCCUCUGGUGUAGAUUUUCUUUGGUUGGUAAAGCGUCUUGACAGAGACUCCAUAAAAAUAUUCUCAGUUUAGGGGGGAUUGACAUAUGCCACAGUUUUGUCCAUAGGCUACGAGGGGGCUGGUAGGAGGAGGAGGCCUUGCUUUGGUCCUGCGGUAAGGAAGCAUCAGUGACCCUGUUAUAGCCACUCUUUACUGUAUAUUGUCCGUUAUGGUUGCCUGUCCAGAUCAAUUUGUCAGCUUUCUGUUGAUGCGCGAUAGGAAUAGCAAGAAUCUCAUUGACUGUCUUAUGUUCGAAUAAUUGGUUUAACAUGGGCUCAUUCCACUCUUUCCUUUCUUGAUUGAUUAAAUCAGCCACUAGAUUGGGGUUGUCUCUGUUUUCUGGUCCCCCAAGAAUUCCUUGUGAUAGCCAAUGAUCUUGACGGAUAUGAAUGGAUUUCCCGUCACCCAUGAUCCACUUUAAAUCUGGUAGUAUAGCAUCUCGUCCCAUAAGAACACUUUGCCAGCCCCAAGAAGGGCGGGGUCCUCUGUUUGCUUUCCAAAGGUCUCCUUGAGGAAAGUAUAGUCCUUUCAGUAGUUGGCUCCAUAAGGCUGAGGGGGAUUGGGACAGUCGCCAGGCCUGUUUUCCCAACAUAGCUACUUUAAAAGAAAUUAAAUCUUUAAAACCUAACCCUCCUCGAUCUUUUCUGCUUUUUAGAGUCUCCUAGUUUUUCCAAUGCAUGAUAUUCUUUGCAUCGUUUUGCCUCCACCAGAAUGCUGCAAAUUCAUUUCUCAAUUGCUCUGCAAAUGGAUACGGGGAUCUUGAAGAUGGACAUGGUGUAUUGUGGCAAGGCUUGCACCACUGUUUGACCAGAAUCUCUUUCCCAGCUUUCGACAAGUAUUUCUCUUUCCACCUUGCUAAUUUCAUAUUUACUCUUGCCAAAAUCCAUGCGAACAUGUCUUUUUUGGUUUUUCCCCAGUCUGAUGGUAGCCCUAGGUAUUUCCCAGUUCUGUCAAUAGUUGGCAUUCACAUUGCAUGAGUCAUAUUCCUUUUUAGAUCCUGUGGACAGCCAUUGCUGAAGAACAUUCCUGACUUGUUUAAGUUAAUUGCUUGGCCCAUCGCAUAACAGUAUUGAUUUAGUAUAGCUGCCAGGCUCUGGCAUUCUCGAACUGACCCAUCCAUAAAGAAAAUGGCAUCAUCAGCAAACAAUAGAUGGGUGAGGGUGGGGCAAUACCUAUUUAGCUUUAUCCCUUUAAUGCUGCCAUCUGCCAGGGCGUUGUGUAUCAUCCAUGAGAGUACAUUUGCCAUCACAAUAAACAAGUAGGGGGAUAGGGGGUCGCCUUGUUGUAUACCACGUGUAGGCCGAAAAAACUCUGUUUGCUCUCCAUUAACUUUCACGUUUAGGGAGGCUGAAGUAACGCAUUGCAUAAUCAAAUUAACCCAUUGAUCUGAAAAUCCCAUCUUCAACAUACUCAUACUCAGAAAGUCCCACUCCACUCUAUCGUAUGCUUUUUGCAUGUCAAGUUUCAAAAUGGCCUGGAAUUUUCGUUUCCUCUUUUUUAUCCUCAUUUGAUGCAGCAUUUCUUGAACAAUGAUAAUGUUGUCUUGGAUUUGACGUCCAUGUACAAAAGCACUUUGUUCUUGUGAAAUGAUAUGUGGUAGCCACCGUUUCAAGCGAUUGGCCAGGAUUCUUGAGAUGAUUUUGUAGUUGAAAUUGCAAAGGCUGAUUGGUCGAAAUUGGCUGAUAUGUUCUGGAUUUUUAAUUUUUGGUAUGAGGACAAUGAAAGUUUGGUUAAGAGUGGAAUCAAACUGUCCUGACUGAAAGAAUUGCUGGACCAUAUUCAUGACAUCCGACUUAAUUUCUUCCCAAAAAUGCUGAUAUAAUUGCCCACUUAGACCAUCCGGUCCUAGGGCCUUUAGGGAACCAAGCUGGAAGACAGCUUCUUUGACCUCCUCCUCAGUAAUAUCAACCAUCAAGAACUGAUUGAUCUCCGUUGUUACUACUUUUGGGCAGUGAUUUAAGAUGGGCUGAAGGUUCCUUGGACCCGCCGAUUGAUAGAGAGCUCGGAAGUAAGCCGUGACGUGCUGCUUAAUUGCAUUGGGAUCCUUGGUCCAAUGCUGUUCAUCAGUCUUCAGCAUGGUAAGUCUAUUCCUUUGUCUCCUCUGAAUUGUAGUUGCAUGGAAAAACUUUGUAUUUUUAUCACCCCAUUUAAGCCAUGUGAUACGGGAAUGUAGUCCCCAAUAUAUCUCCUCUUGCCUCCAUAGAUUAUCAAUUUUCGCCUUGAUCAACUGAAUUUCUACUUUAGUGGAUGUUGUAGGGUGGCAGUUUGUGAUCUCCAUAAGGCUCUGCUUGAGCUCUUUAAUUUGAAUAGAAGCAUUGGAAAACUUUUUUUUGCUCCAUUCUAGUAGCUCCUCUGUUACUUGCUGGAGUUUUUGUGGUAAGCUUCUACUUUCGAGAUGGGGUUUAGCCCAAGCUUUUUUGACUAUAUCUCUACAAUCCUCCUCAUCUAACCAGUAAGUUUCGAAUCUUAAUUCCUUUUUUCCUUUUGCCGGGACCAGGAUAUAAAGAGAGGAGGAGGGGACUGUGGUCCGACCCUACAGCUGGUAAAGCAUAGAUUUCAGCAGACAGGAAGGUUGUCACGCCCCGAUCCUCGGUCACGUGCCCAUCCUUGUUAUAUCUGGUCGAUUUUAAACUUGCGAUAUCCCAGGACUACGUAUCGCCGACCCUUUCAUUUAUUAAGCACAUGCGGAAGCAGUUAUUAAUCCCCAGACAACAAAACAAUGGGAUAGAAAAGUAGGGCCAUAAUUUUCAUACUAAAAUUCACAACCACUCUUUUACACAAGCACCUCAUAAUAUAUAAUGCAAUACUAUUCACAGGGGUCUGAUCUAACACUUCUCCACAUAUAAUCAAGGUUUGACAAAACAAGAUGGGAUCUCAGUCCUCAUCCAGGUCGUACUCAGGAUCCUCCUCGUGGUCAUCUUCUUCUCCAAAAUGUUCCUCCUCAUUUGGUUCCACAUCAGGGUUCUCCUCUUCAGGUUCCUUCUCCUCAGGCUCCUCAUCAGGGUCCUGAAAUGGUUAUUCAAUAACCAUUGAGACCACGUCUCAGCAAGUUCUACCCCCUAAGACUCGAUUAGUAAACUAAUACGCUAACCGGGCUACCUAUACACAUACGAGUCAGAGGACUUACCUUGGCCUCAGAUUCCACCUGCAUAUUAGCACAGUUUAGUAGGCACCCAAGUAAUCACAUUACUGAUCGAAGCAUCGAUCAAAUCGACCUAGUCGAUUACAUGUCAAUCAGACCAUCUCAUGGUCAUUUCCAAUCAAUCAAUCAAUUCACAACAUCAUAUCAAAGCAAUGAUCAAUCGACCUAGUCGAUUACAUGUCAUCACGACCCAUGCUUGGUCGGCACAUUCAAUACUAUCUAUAAGUCCGACCAUAGUCCAGGACUGCUCACUCUAAGCUGAUAUAUAGAUAGUAUAGCUCGCACUAAGCUGAUAGGGUUAAGGUAUACUGCUCUCGCUAAGCUGACAUAUCGCCCGUAGGCUGAUAUAGUAUACCGGUAUACUGCUCUUGCUAAGCUGACAUAUCGCCCGCAGGCUGAUAUAGUAUACCCCCGAUGCUCACUCUAAGCUGAUACUCUAAGCUGAUAAAGUGUACUGCUCGCGCUAAGCUGACAUAUCGCCCGUAGGUUGAUAUAAUACACCAGUAUACUGCUCUCGCUAAGCUGACAUAUCAGAGACCGUAGGAUGAUAUAGUAUACUAUCAGACCAUUCAAUCCAUUCCAUCUUUUAUCAUUCUCGAUAAAAUAGCCGUGUGUGGGGACACGGUCGGCCUUAGCCGAAAUAUAAUAUUUUCCUUUCCAGAACGCCCACAUUUUUUGUAGUCCACUCAAAUAUUUUUGGCAUUAUUAAUCGAUGCCCGGUUAUUUUUCAAUUAAUAACCAAUGAUUAUCCAAUUAAAGAAUAAUUCCCUCUUUCACAAAUAAUUCAAUUCAGCAUGAAAUAGAGCUCAAUUAAAUAAACAGACUGUGCCACGACAAUCGGCAUAAAAUUUCGGUCACUGGCCAUCCCAGUUGAAUUUCCGGGAAAUAAAUAAUUAAAUAAUUAAUUUCGGAAAAUAAAUAAAUAAAUACAAUAAAUUCAAUUUAGCACAAUAUAAAGCUCAACUAAAUAAACGGACUGCACCACGAUCAUCGGCAUAAAAUUCCGGUCGUCGGCUAUCCCUGCCUAAUUUCCGGAAAAUAAAUAAUUUAUUAAAUUAAUUUCGAAAAUUAAUAAUUAAAUACUAAAAAUCCAAUUUAGGCCCAUAAUGCCUGAUUGGACGCCAGAACGAAUUGGGAAAAAUCCCGAGAUGCAUUCGAUAAUUAUUAGAAGCUCUCUAUUUGCUAAUGACUAAGUCUAACCACCUAACAUGCAUCAUUAAGUCACUAAUUUAAUUGUUUUAAAUUAAUCUAACCACCUAAGUGCACUUAAUUAAAUCUAACCAACCCUUAAGCAUAAUUAGCAAACUAAGAAAGCAUUAGUGAGUAAAACUCACUUGAUUAAAAGCGGGGACCGGGACACCGCAUGGCGACGCGACGGCGCGACGACGGCCGAAAUCCGAAUUUUCGGCGACGUCAACGAUCACUUGGGCCGAGCCAAGAAACUUUGCAAGCCCACAGAAAUAUCUAGGUUCAGACUUAACUUGGGCCGAACUUGGGCCAACUUGCUUCGCGGGCUGAACUGCUAAAACUUCUUGGGCUUCAAGUCAAUUGAAAAUGGGCUGCCGACUCAAGAGCUGCUGGACUGGGCUGAGCUGAAUUCGAGAUGGGCUGCUUUCUCAUGGGCUGAAAUAAUCUAAAUUUAACUUGGGCUGCACGGGCUUGGAACUUCAAAUGGGCUUCGGUGAGCUGGGUUUCUUCGAGGAGACUUGUUGGAGUCACGAACGAGCUGGGCUGCUGACGGGCCAAAGGAAGAAACACGUGGGCUGCUCCUUGGCCUGUUGACGCAAGCGAGAGAAGCAGCAGGUCCACGAGCCGAAGAAGAGCGACCACGCGGACAGGAGCUGCUUUGGGCGAGGGAAUGGCAGACGGCGUGAAGAGAAGAACCGGUGGCUUCGGCUUCGCUGGCAUCUUGAAGAUGUCCACGCCGGGGACGCCUGGCAGCAGCAACGCUUCGUGGACGAUGCUGGGUCAACGAGAAAGCAAAGCGGAGACGCACGGCAGCUGGGUGAAGAAAUCAACGAAGAUGUGGGCGCUGGAUUGGUCGAUCGAAGGUUGACGGUGGGGAUUUCUUCGGUGGAGGAGCACGCGGUCUUGGAGUGGUCAACACUUGGCUUCGGUGGAGGAUGAGGUGUUGACCGUGUGGCUUCAACUGAAGACUUUGGUGGAAUAUAGGAUGCGCGUGAGUGGAGAUGGAGGGUUGCUUCAACGAGGGAAAAUGAAAGAGCAAAAGCAUAACAGACCGAGAGAAAUCGGUGAAGAGAGAAGUUAACGCGAAGAAAAUUCCAAGUGUGAGGGGCUUCAAUGGAACUGCCGCAAGAGAGAGAGACGCACGGGGGAUAAGGGGCGGCGGUCUUGGCUUGCCGAAGAAGCUGCCGACGGAGGAGCCCACAAAUUCUAUCCCUUCCAUUAAUUGCUUGUCCCCCUUGAACCCCUCAAACUUAUCCAAGUUAUCCAAUAAUACUUUCUAGGUUGGAUAAUGCCACAAUUUCUCCAAAUUGACACCAAAAUAUAGCCCUUAGUCCAAGCUCCGAAUUUUACCGAUUAAACUUAAAUUUCUUCACUCAAUUUCCUAAAUUGAGGUCCAAUUUCGUCGAAGAAAAGUUCCACACAUCUCCACAAAUUCCUAUCAUCCAGUAGCUCGGCUUAGAAAUCAAAAUUCCCUUCAAAUGAGCUAAACCGAAUUUUCGUUGAUUUUAUGCGACGUCCGAAGUGCUUUUCCGUAAAAAUCCCAAACUCAAUGGAAUUUCUCUGAAAUACAAGAAAACAUCCUAUAAAUGAACCAUGACAUGCUCAAAUGUCGGAAUUCCGAAACCGAAUUCAAUUUCAUGGUUAAAAUCGGUCGAACGCGAUUUUAGUCCGAUCCGACCUAUCAGGUAGCUUUUAGGGAUUUUACCGCGGUUAUAUCCCUUAACGGCUUCACCCAAUAGAUUGGUUAACUCGUGAGUGAUCAGCUCAGAGAAAAAGGACCAUAGGCGCGCCAGCGAAAUGCCCAUUUCAUAUAUUCAGAACGGGGUCGAAAUUCGGGAUGUCACAAAGGUAAUGCGCCAUUCCAUUGUGCAAACUCCUCUGUCUAAACGCUUUUUUACUAAAUUUGCCCCUUCUCUAUUGUGCUUGUGAAUUACAUCCUAAAGAAAUUGCAAGUGUUGUGAAGUCAAUAGAUCUUAUGGUAAGAUUUGUGAUUCCUUUGUGAGAUUGAGAUGUUUUUUUAGGGUAUUUGAGUGACUCAAGCCUACUUAUAAUUACUAUUGUAUCGCUUGUUUUAUAGUGGAAUUCUAUUAUGCUCUCCCUAGAGAGUAGGUCUUGCCAACCAAACUUAACCAUGUAAAGUCAAUAUUCGAUUUAUUUACUUAUUCUAUUUAUUAUUGUGUUCAAAUGACUUUUUUUUUUCAAAGAAUUAGUACCAAUUUAGACGAACUAUAUGCAAAACGGCCUUACCCAAAAGUUCCCACUACUCGAGUUGAUACAUGAGUAUCUGCAUCAGAAGCAAACUUUGCAAGUCCAAAAUCUGCAACCUAUCAAGAUGUUGGCUUUUACAAUUCACAUCCAAAUAGCUUCACACUGAUAUAUUAGAUUAUGUAUUAAAAAUUCAUCACAACUUCAAAAAUAGCUGCAAGAUGAUAGUUCUCCAUAUGUAUCAUCAAGAAACCCACUUUUGCAGCUUAAUGAUCUUUAAGCUUCGGCUUAUACAGAGGACGUUGGAGGGAUGCAAAUUGCUUUUUGAGAUAUGAAGUAAAUCACUAGCUUGAGGAGCUAACCGAAUAAUGUGAUAGUGAAUCUCAUAAACAGCCUAGAUGACUAAUAUUAUCAUGUAAUGGCUAAACGGUUGCAUAUCAUACCUUUGCCUCAAAAUUGGAUUCCAGAAGAAUAUUAGCAGCCUUGAUGUCACUGUGAAUGAUUCCGGUACCUAAGAACUGAAUCCAAUAAAGGAAAACCGCAAAACUUAUCAAAAUAAUAAGGUUUAGAAGAGCAAUCUUACAUUCCUCAUGCAGAUACGCCAACCCUUUUGCAGCACCUAAAGAAAUUUUCAUCCUUAUAGGCCAAGUCAUAGUUGGUUGAUCCUUUCAUGCAAUAAUAUUUGCCAAUUAUAACAACGAUUGUGUUCUCGAUCAGCUUUUGAGCUCCAAAAUAACCGUGCAUCUUAUGUUGCCUAUGGAUGCGUUCUGCAGUGGAGAUCAAAGUUAGCUUAUUAUUAUGGGAUUUUUCACCCAAAAUCACCUGAGAUUUAUCCACUUUUUUUCUAAUUUUUAGUGGAUUUUUGCCACACACCUAGAAAAGGCCAGGCGGUUGUUGUUGUCAUCGACAACAACGUUUUUCUAUAUCUUACAUCUAUAGUAUUUUUGCCCUGGUGGAUCUCUCUCUCAUUUAAUAAAAGUCUUGAAUUUUGGAUUACUAAUUGGUAGAAUACUAGGCAAUCCAAUGAUAACAAUUUGAUUAAUCGAAAAUGAAAACCAACAAAAUCCCAGCGUAUUGCCAAUUUGUUAUAUAAGCGGCUUUGUUAUAAAAGUCCCUUGUUCCAGAAUGGUGGGAGCAUAUAAUCGAGUCCACUAUUCAAGCAGCACUUAAAAAAAGGCAUUAACCUAGAAUAUCAAAGUUGAUAGUAGUCAGAAUCCAUACAUACCGACAAAAGUUCAAGUCUGAACUUGGAAAAAGGGUAACGGAGAGAGAAGGUGGUCGAUGUUAGAAAGGGCAUCAUCUGAUGAAAGAUCAACACGUAUUCCUUUGAAGUCAUACUCACCGUGCAAAUGAAAUUCCAACGUGCUAUUUGGAACAAACUCAUAUACCAGAAUUCUAUGAGCGCCAGAAAUGCAGUAACCAACGAGAGAAACAAGGUGUCUGUGAUGGAUGCGACUGAUGAUCUCGAUCUCUGCUUGAAAUUCCCUCUCCCCUUGUCUGCUUCCAGCUUUUAACUGUUUGAUUGCAACUACUUUCCCGUUCGAAAGCACUCCUUUAUGAACGUAGCCAAAACCACCUUGGCCGAGUAAGUUGAGAUUGGAGAAAUCAUCUGUUGUUAUCUUUAUCUCCUUGUACGUGAAUUUGUUCUGUGAAAAGCCUAAUUCCAUGCCUGGAGAUGGUCCGGAAAAAGGUCUUACUAAACACGUUAUUGUUAUCGACAAUGGCUCAGAAGUAGUCGAACCUUGUUAACUCGACACAAUAAAAUUACGAAGAAUUUACGAACUUUAAGAACUCGCAUUCAAGGAUAAAAAUCUCACCGUUAGGCCCCUGUGGAGGGUAACUCCCCAACUCAAGCCGCCUCCUCUUCCUUCGAUAAAAAAUCACGAAUAUGCACACCCCAACCAGCACAGUGAGCCCCCCAAUCCCAAUCCCCACUAUGAGCGCCAGCUUCCAUGGUGGCAACCCCCCAUUCGGAGACGCCGGUGGAGGAGAGGUGGAGUUGGUCGAUGGAGUGGGGGGGUUCGACGACGGGGCAUCGCCGGUCGGAGGCUUCGCACUCGGCGAUGGGAAAGGACUCGCUGUCGGGGGAGGUCCUCCCACGAUCGAAGGUGGGGGAGGACCCGCCGUUGGGUCAGGAGGAGAAGGGGAACAAUUUACGGUGUUGGUAUUCACCGGCCGCCGAACGCAAUUUGCCAUGAGAGGCCCACGAGUUCGAUGCGUACGACGUCGCUUAGAGUGGAAUGAAAAUUGGUUUCAGGUAUUUUAGGGGAAGUUUUGGACGGACGUGUUUCGAGUGGAUGAGUGUGAGCGCUGGAAGGAGCAUGCCAUAUAUAUAUAGAAAGAAUAUCUUCUAAAAAUUUUCUCAUUUUUACAAAAAUCAAAUUGUAGGAAUCGUUUGAUUUAAAAAAAAAAAAAAUAUUGAAUGUUAACAUUGUAUUUCACAUCGAAGAGAUAUGUUUUAAAUUAGGCUGCUAGGAUGAGAAUUUUUGCAAUAUUGCAUACUUUCUUAAGCCGAGCAUUGACUGUUUGUGACAUGGCUCGAAAAAAUGAAGACGAAUUAAUCAACUUAUGCUUUGCUAAAUCUAAUUCCUCGUCUUGUGGCGCUAUAUGUUUGGGAAAAUAUAGGUGUGAGGAAGAAGAGAAAAAUAGAAAGAAUCGAGAUUGGAUUUCAGGAGCAAAGCAUGAGCAGCUUGAUUUUGACUAUAGUUAUGCUUUGGAAAUGCACGGUUGCGGAUGGAGAUCAAUACAAUCAAUUUUGAAAAGCGAGAAAAAAGGGAAUAUAGUGUAGACCGCAGUCCCAUACACGAGACUUGACCGACACCAUUUCUUUCGCAAAUCGAACCCAUAAAAUCCAAUCUAAGUAGAGAUUUCAACUCUAAAUAGGAGUUGUGGUUUGACACCCAAAGGAGGAAAUUACUGAAAUAUUUUCCAAAUUGGAGUUGAUCUCCUAGUUUGAGUCGUUUUAAAGGAGUUCUCUACUUGCAUCAAAAUAUUGUCAAAAUAUUUUCCAAAUCAGAGUUGAUUUUUGGCCGUCGGUGAGUAGAAAAGCUUGUGCUGUAACAAUAAAUUGUGUCGCACACUAGUGAUUUACAUAGUGAAGAUUUUUGGAAGGUUUUAAGCCAAUAAAUUUUCUGGCAAGAUUUGUGGAUUCCAGAAAAAUUAUCCAAAAAGUUUAAAAUUUAUUGUAUCCUUGUCAAUUCAGUUCUAAACUUUUUAAAUUUGUCAAUUAAAUCCAUCUGACCAAUUUUGAUCAGAAAUCGUUGUUGUGAAUGUCGAGCGUCCUAUGUAGCAGGAUUGAUGCUAAUAUGAAUGAUUUUUAAUAUUCCUUUUUUCUAUGCUUUUUUUGGGUCUCACCGACAACCCUUGCUAGCCAUGGAGGCCUCACCUGCGACUACUGUGGCCACAAAGGCCCUAGACGAGGCCACCGUGGCCCCACUGGCGGUGGGCAAGGAGGCUUUCGCCCAAAUCUGGCAAGGGCCGCCUCACCCUCGCCUGCAACUAGUGGGGUUCAAAGCCUUCCCUUAGGGCCACAACCAAAAAAAGCAUAGAAAAAAAGGAAAAUAAAAAAUUCAAAACCAAAAUAAAAAUUCAAUGAAAUAUUACGAUAUGAGUUGUCCACAUUAACACCGAUCGUCUACAUCAGUGAUUUACAGCCAAAUUAGCAAUUUCCAACCAAAAUUGACCGGAUAGACUCAAUUAACAAAAUAUGAAAAGGUUUAGACUCAAUUAAGAAAAUUGAAAGAUUUAUGUUUAAAUUGACAAAAGUUGUGACAUUCUGAAAUUCGAAUCCUCUGAGGAAUGAAUGGAUGUGAAUUUCGCCAAUGCAUUGUUGGUUGAUCUCACUCGGAAUUGAUCACUCCUGAGAUACUGACCUUGAGUGGAAAGGCUACUGAGGACAGAACUCGUACGACUAAAGGACUCGACCUAGGAAAACGACUUGAUCGUGAGACUUGCGUGAGGAUGAUCCUGUAGAUAGGCAGGCCGAUUCUAAGGACGACUAACAGUCGAUUCGCGGACAGAACAUAACGGAACGACGGGUGAUUCCGUUUACUGUUAUCGAAUCCACGAACGACCCUAUGUCGAUCCUCAGUAAUCGUGUACUUUGAAAUAAGAAUCUAUCCUCCACAAUUUCAUGUAGUCAAGGACGUCCAUGCGCCGAGAUAUCUUGAACGUGGUUUGGCACGAGUCGGUCACGCAUGAAUCCUCAAAGCCACCCAUCAGUCUGAGUUGUUACCAAAAUGACAUUUGACGAAAUUGACAUGGCAAGAGAACUUAGGAUUGGACUUCGAAUUAUCGGGAAUGUCCGAGACGGACUUUGGAUGAAGCUACUUCAGACAGUCGACAGAGCCAGUUAAGCCUAGCAAUUGGAAAAAGGGAUUUUCGGAUCGAGGAAGCAAGCCCGUGAGGACGUGGGCCCGGCCAAGCCAAUGUGGGCCUUAGGCCCAAGUUGGGACAGCCACCAAAUGGGCUUAAGUCAAGCAAAUGAGCCCAUUGGGCCAAACCAACUAUUCAUCUUUUAAGCCCAUGGGCCAAUUCUUGGCCAUUUCAAGCCCAACCAAUUCCCAAGCCCAUUCCUAUUCAUGGCCAAGCCCAACCCUUAGGCCCAUCCACCAAUUUCAGCCCAAGGACAGAAUGGUAAUUGUGCAAGGUGAAAUGACCAAAUUGCCCCUAAAAGCUUGUGGAUAAGGGCAAAGGAAGAGAGAGAAGGUGAGGGGACUUGUAUGGGGACUUGAAGUGGCCAUUGAAUGGCGCACUAAUGAGGAGUGCUUUCAGCCCUCACUUCACUCUCUCUCUCCCCUCCUUCGUCCCCAAUUCGACGGAGCUCUCUCUCUCCUCGUUCUCCCUCUCCUCCAGUUUCUGCUCCAGCCGACCCUUCGGUGAAGAAUCAAGUCAAAAGUCGUCUUCCCGGAUGAAUCAUCCAACGAGCCACCUAUAACCGUGACCGGGAGAGAAAGACCGUUCCAACAAGAUCAAUUUCGUCCCGAACGGAGCCUCCUUCCGGCAUGGACGCCUCCGUGAAGGAACCCGUCGCCGGUCCGUCGGUCCGCCUGCAGCCUGCACUGUUUCGCGUUUUCGACCAUUUUUCUCCCAUUCCGGUCCUUCCUCCGCCCAUCCCAACCACCCUCAAGAUCCCCAAGACCCCCGGGAGCCGCCGGUUGCCGGCCAAAUCCCUCGCCAGAGCUCCGGCCAAGCCGUUCAACUCAGUUUCUCCUCCGGCAGGGCUGUUUUUCAGUGUUUUCAGUGGGAGUCCGAGCUGUGGUUGUUGCGUUGAGCUUGGGACCGCCUUGGAUCGCCGUGGUAGAGGUCCCAGAGCAUCGCCUCCGUCGUCGUCGCCGCCGCAUCGGUGUCUCCGGCCCGCUUAACGGGUGAGUUUAGCUCCUAAUCCUUCAAUUAGUGCCUAAACUUGCUUAGGGUUGGUUUAGUUAGAUUUAAUUCUAGUUUAAGUGAUUUAAUUAAGUUGUAUUAGCCCUAAGAUAGGUGGUUAGAUGGAUGGAUUAGAUUAGUCUAGCUUAAUCUUGCUUUAGUUGCUUAAUGUGGUUUAUGUGGUUAAUUAAGUAUGCUUGGCUUUAAUUAAUUGAUGGUUGCUUUAAUUAAUGUUUUUAAUGAUUUCUGAAUUUAAUUUAUAUUUUAUUAAAUUAUGGAUUUUUACUGUUCAUGCACACUAUUCACGAUUACUGUUCACACUGUUCACGAGUACUGUUCACAAAAACACUGUUCACCCGAGAAUGAAAAGUGUCUAAUUUCAUGUGUGUUUAAUCCUAUGAAGUGAUUGGAUGUGUUAUUGCAUAAACAUCUGCAUGAAUUGAGUGAUGAUUUGUGAAGUUGAGUGGUGAUUGUGAAAAUAUGGUAUUUAUUCUGAAAAUCCCGGGUGUCGGGCUUGACAUCGAAAAUGGAUUUUAAUGAUUAAUGAUUAUAUCAAACCGUGGGAUUUGAAAAGGAAAGGUAUUAGCUUUUCUUGUUUGAAAGGACGUGGACCCACACACGACUACUUUCUCAAAUGUUUUUAAUACGAAGGAAAGAGGCCAGGAUUACUAUUUUAAUCGGGGCAUUUGAGUGAAAUGCAAAGUGUCCUGGGCUGAUAUUGAAUUGUUGUGUGUUUGUUAAGAGGAAACCGUCCCGGGCUGUUGAGUUGGAAGUGCCCCUAUAUGGGAUGCCCACGCAAUGGAUGCCGGUCGCAGUAGAGGUUGGGCCAACUGGACCGAUGCUCCUUCGGGAAUGCCGUAGACGUAGUGACGAAGCCGUGCUCCAAGGGGGGAGACGAUGCUCCUUCGGGAAUGCCGUCGACGUAGUGACAAAGCCGUGCUCCAUGGGGGGAGACGAUGCCUGGCAUUAAUGUCAGUAGAUAGCGGAACUACGAGUAGGCUAUGCCAUUGAGUGGCAGUGAAUAACAAUUGGAACACAUGUUGGGUGUUGAAUGACGCACCGGAUUAUAGGACGGAAUUGUAUGGCACGGUAUGGGACAUGUCAUAAUGAUUCGGUCUUAUAAUCAGGAUCCCUGUGAUUAAUUGAGUGGAUAAGACGUUUCAAUUGUUGUAUGCAUUGAAUAUAUGCAUGAUGUUGUUGAACUGUGCUAAUGUGCAAGAAUGCAUGAGAAUCAUGGCAUCUGUGAUUUCGUUCAUGUAUGAGUUAAGCACAUUGUUUAUGGUACGCACGCAUGAAUCGAUAACAUGCAGGGUAUGGCAAUGGCCAGGUGAGAUCGCUUGUGAUGCGACUCAUAUGUAAUUGAUGAAAUGUAUCAUCUAUGCAUUGUGUGUAUCGUGCUGAAUUAUAACAUGCAAGGUAUGGCAUACCAGGUAAGGUUGUAUGCGAAUCGACUGUUGGUUGUUGCUUGUAGUGGGGUAGUUCUGGAUAGAUACCCUGAGUUGAGUUGGUGUACUAACCGGGACUUAGGGGUGGAACUCGCUGAGAUUUAUAUCUCACUGGUUAUUGAAUAACCAUUUUCAGGUCCCUAGUGUGAAGAGCCAGGAGCUUGAAGCAAAAGGGUCAGGAGCAUAGGUCGCUCAGUAGUUCUUUAUGACACAGACCUUCUGUAUAAGCUUGAAGUGUUUAUAAAGGUGUAUUUGAUUUGAAGUUGGUUGUCCUGCUUUUCUAUCCCAUGUUUGUCGUUGUCAGGGGAUUAGUUAAUUCGUUUCCACAUGUGCAAUAAAAUGAAAAUGGUCAGUGACGAGUCCUGGGAACGUCGCGAAAUUCUAUCGACCAGCGAGGGUUGUGCACGCGCUCGAGGUUCGGGGCGUGACAAAAGCACAAUAUAUUGAGAACCUUUUGGACAAUUUUUGCAUGAAUUCCUUUGCAAGAUUGGGUGAUUAAGUUUAAUAAGGAAUCGUGAAGACCAAACAAUGCAAUUGGGGACUAGAAAUACCGAGAGCGUUUGGCUGAUUUAAAUAUGGUUUCAAUGUGCAUUUUAUUGCUCGAUCAAUAGUAGAAUCAUGUGGUACCAUUCUCAUGGAAUCAGUCACACUAAUCGAAUCACCUAAAUUGGGUGUUCUAUACAUUCUUUUGUUUUGUUUAUUUUAUUAUUUGAUCAUCGAAGCCCAUUUGCCGUAACCAAUGGUUAACGUAGAACCAAUUUCUGGAACCAAGCUGUAUUAAAGUAACAUUUGUACUCUCAAACGUGAAAUGAAGCAAGCUGUUGUCUGGUCAAUGACGACCGCCGUGUUGUGCGCUCACUUUUUCUAAAGCCAGUUCUUUUUCUACACCACUUUGUCGGAAGAUAUGAUUCAGUGUGUCACGCACCAAGGAAAAUCAAGAUUUUCUAACGUGAAACAUGGGAGCGUGGGUCAUCAAGAGUCUGUCCUUUUUGUGAACGUGAACAUGAUAAUUUUUCUCCAAGUCCAGCUCAGUUGAGGUCACAAGACAACCAUGAUGAAUCAAUCAAUCUAAUCAAAUUCCGUUUGUUUCGUGGAAAAGAUAAUUACUUAUAUUGCUUAUAAAAAUAAAUGAGAGAAAAAAAUUCAUAGACAUUAACUAUAGUCAGUAAUCAAAACUUUUUUUACUAAUUAUUUCAAAUAAUACAAACGAUUAUUUUUAAUAAAAUAUUUUCAAAUUAUUGAUUCUCCAUGGAACAAACGGAGCGUAGGAUCAAAUCUUUCUUAUGCUGUUAAUAUGUGCAUAUCAACAAAAAGGGUCCACGUUGAUUAUUCAAAAUGCAUUUUGUUUAAAGGAUUUUGCCUUGAAGCUUGUUUUGGUUUGGCAUCUUGAAAAGUAAAUUGUGAAUUGCUUGACUAGCCCGACUAUUGCUCUCUUUGUUUAUGAUAAUGAAUUUGACAAAACUUUCGGGCCCCUAGGAAAAAGAAAAGAAAAAACAAAAGAAGCGUACUUUAUCGGACAAGAACGUUAUCUAAUUAUGUGCCAUGAAUUUUUGUUAAGAGAGACGAAUCAACAAACUUUGUUUCACUUAUCUAUAAAUUUUACUCGUAAAGAUGUGUUAUAGUGUAGAUUAAUUAGUCAACUUUCAAAUAAUAUAAGUGAUCAUUUUCAGAAAAUAUUUUUUUCAAAUCAUUCAUUUUUCGUAAAAUAAACGAAAGUUAAGAAAAAAUUAUAACAAUUUGAUUGUGAACUUCAUACAUCGAUACAUGUAAUGUCUAACCUUAAUUUCAUUUCGACCAAAAAGAGACCGUAAUUUCAUCAAUUAUCCUGGUUUCUUGUCAUGAUUUAUUUUUUUGAAUGAUUAUUUUCGGGUUAUGGUGUUUUGUACACUAAGAUGAAAUGCGUGUGGAUAAUAAAAUACUGAUUUUGUAAUUUCAUGGGUUUGCCUUUUGUUCCUAGCAGAACAGGGGAAAAACGUCGAACAUGAGUCGUUCCAAUCGACCUUUAAGCGAGAAAGGAGUCAUUUUGGUCGUUUUCUGUAGUUUCAAUCGCGAGAAACAUCCCUCCUGCUUUGAGUUUUUUGUAGUUUCAAUCUUGCACAUUACCGAACCAGCGAUGACUGUUAUUAGAAUACCUCAAACUAUACUACUCAAAUCAACGACAUAGACAUAACGAAAUCUGAUGCGCUUUUUGCCUUUCCCAAAUCUAAUCCAUUUCUAUAUACAAAUAACAAUUGCGAACACGUGGCCCUACGUCAAAGUGCAUGGAAUUGUGGAAGUAGGGUUUGUCCUCUCAAUUCCUAUUAAUAUUGAGAGCCUCUACUAGCGUGAUGACCAUCCUCUGCCAUAUUCUUAUUUAUAAAUGGUUGAAGGCCAUCCUCGCUGUUGUGGCCACUGAACUCACUUGUGGCUUGUUCUUGGGUUUCCAGGGCCAUCAUCCCGAAUUUCUUUAAACCCUCCUGGUCUUCGCUGGUGUCAUGAUCUGAGCAUUGACAACGACUAGAUACUCUGGUAGGUCCUAGCAUAAUUCCCUCAUUUAAAUCAUUCAGAGAAAGGUUUCCUUCCAAUGCUCGAACUACCUGU
RNAcentral lists this long non-coding RNA (85634 nucleotides) under Eucalyptus grandis. RNAcentral's name for it is "long non-coding RNA (EGRA_LNC006113)". The record is from RNAcentral. Lineage: Eukaryota; Viridiplantae; Streptophyta; Magnoliopsida; Myrtales; Myrtaceae.